Molecule: long non-coding RNA, 78785 nt
Filed under: Malus domestica (apple)
Lineage: Eukaryota; Viridiplantae; Streptophyta; Magnoliopsida; Rosales; Rosaceae
Description: long non-coding RNA (MDOM_LNC006552)
Source: RNAcentral
AAAGACUCAAGUUGCUGGAAAAUACGCCACCCUUGCUUUGCCAAAACAACCAAAUUAAAAGCAAAUAAAUCCCAAAAUCCCAUACCAUCCCCCUCCUCCUUCGGUUUGGGCAAUUUCUCCCAAGACCACCAAUGUAUUUUCCUCACAUUUAGAUCACUUCCCCACCAAAACUGAGCCAUUAAUUGGUGAAGAUAAUCACAUAACAUCCUAAGAAGCAAGAAACAAUUCAUAGCGUAAGCCGGAAGGGCUUGAGCAACCACUAUAAUAAGAAGCUCUCGCCCCACACUACUCAAACAUUUUCCUUUCCACCCGUUUAGCCAUUUCAGAACUCGUUCCUUGAUAAAUGAAAACGUUUGUGUCUUAUUUUUCACCACAAAGGUAGGGAGACCCAAGUAUUAUUCAUGCUGCUUAACCACUUGGACCCCCCAAAAGCUGGCAAUAGAAAUUUGCUCCCUUGAGCCAACAUUUGCACUAAAAGCAACACUACUCUUAAAAAAUUAACCACUUGGCCCGACUCUUAAGAGUGGACAUCAAAUAUAUGUUGAAUCGCCACACUCAUCUAUACUAGCUUUCUCGAAGAGAAAACUAUCAUCAACAAAGAGUAAGUGGUGAAUAUUCAAAGCACCCUCACAAAUUUGAAUACCACUAAGAGCCCUACACUGCUUCUUUUUGGCAAUAAGCGCCGAAAGAUCUUCCACACAAAGAAGGAAAAUAUAGGCGAGAUUAUAUCCCUUUUUUGGAGUCCACGAGAUGGCAAAACAUAUCCCUUAGUCUCCCCAUUGAUUAGGAAAUAAUAGGAUAUCGAGGACACAGAAGCCAUAAUCACUUUGAUCUAUUCCCUAGUAAACCCUAAGUUAACCAUCAUAGCUUAUAGGAAUGUCAUUCGACACGGUCAUAUGCUUUACUGAGGUCCAUCUUUAAAGCCAAAUACCCCUCCCAACCGCGCGUCAUUUGUUAUGUAGGAAAUGCCCAAUCUCCGCUGCCAUCAACGAGUUAUCGGAGAUCAAUCUUCCAGGAACAAACUGUUUGGGUUAAAACUUAAAUCUUGGGCUUAGAAGGGAGUUGGCCCAGCGAAGAGGAGAAAAGCCUGAAGUCCAGCCCAAAUCCAGAAGGCAGAAAAGGGCUUUCCCGACUAGGUGCAUGUCAUUUGCACCACUUGCUCACCUACCCAAGGGCCAAGUAGUAUAGACCUGCCAGCUGAUCAGCCCAAAAGUACUUUACAGUGGUAGUACAAGUAAAUAGCUGAUGAGUCACUACCCUUCAAGCUGCAUUCGGGUAAGGUUGCUGCUACAGGAAGACAAGCCAAGUUGUCUAUAAAAGAAGAAAGAGAAAUUAGGAAUAAAGACACUCAAUCAAACAAACAAAUACAAGCACAAACUCUGCUCAAACCAGAUUUGCCUUCAAAACGAAGCUGUAGUCAGCCCAAGCCUUCAUCAUUCUCGGGAUAAACCUUUGUAAUAGCUUUGCUACCUGGUCAAGAACCUACUGUAGUAUCGAUUUCUUUCUGCAAACCCAUCUCCCUACCCCUUUUCUGAAAGUUCUCAACCCCCUUGACAAACCACAAAGAUAGGAAGUUACAAGACGAUCAGCCUUGCCCGACCUUCUUUGUUUUUGUCUUUUCAUUCAUUAGCCUAACAAUAUGUUGUAUACUACAAGUUGUAUUCAAGUUAUCUCUAGUAAUAUGGCUAUUAAAAGACUUUCUCAGCGCUUAAAUCCGAGUUGAAUAUGUCUUCAUAGUUCAAACUGGAUCUAAGUUCUAAACCCUCGGGCAUGUAAGAUUUGAUCAUCCAAAAGUCCUUGGCCUCAAGGCAUAAAAAAGAACCUUAUAUGGACUUAACCCAUCCAUGACAAGCUUUGAUAAACAAGAAGUCCGAAGUUACUUGGGGUGCAAGUAAUCGAUUUAUCACCUAGUUUUAUUUCUAUUAUAUUAUGAUUACAAUAGAACGUUGAGUAUAGAAUGAAUUCUGAUGGGAAGCCUCAAGGCCUACACGUAAGGCCCUACAAAGGCACCUAUUUGGAUUCAUUAUGUCCUUCGGGCUAGAACGAUGAGUAUAGAAUGAAUUCUGAUGGGAAGCCUCAAGGCCUACACCUAAGGCCCUACAAAGGCACCUAUUUGGAUUCAUUCUGUCCUUCGGGUUUAGAUAAUCAGAAGUAUAAUGGUUAUAAGAUUUAUAUAACCAAGGAAACGAACCAUAUGUAUAUAUUCAAAUACUAAGUUAAUUAUUAACGGGAAGCCUCAAGGCCUACACCUAAGGCCCCACAAAGGCACCUGUCAUAACUAAAAUAGUCUCUUGGGUAUGUAUACAAUUAAAAUUCAACAAUUGUUCUACAUCUGCCAUGCUGAAGAUAGCAGUGGCACGCCUGAGCACUUAAAAGUUAAUUUUAAUUGUGAGCCUCAAGGCCUACACCUAAGGCCCCAUAAAGACACCUUUCAAAGUUAACUCAGUCCUUCUCUUUCAGCCUUGCCCGACAAGCCUUGCCCGACUAGGCUUUGCCCGACAAGCCCGCCAGUAAAGCAGAAACCCGACAUGAAGCAUCAACCGGCGCCGACCUCUCGGGGAGCUGUGUGCUCGUCGGCCAGGGAACAUCCCCGAUGGAAAUUCCUGCCACGAACAUAGUUUGGCACGCCCGGUGGGAUUCCAUUUGUGUUGAUCGUGCAUGUCCAAAAAGAAAAGCCAUAAACUUAGCAGAAAGAAUUCGAAGGACGGUUCUACUCAACUUUUGCUACAAAUGGCAGAUCAAUCAGGGAACCCUCCUUCCCCAUCAGGACAGGUGGUCCUAGAAAGCCCAUCUUCAUCCGGAAAAUCAGAAGGAAGAGGAACUAAUGAGGAAUUACAGGCUACUAUGAUACAAGUGUUAAGGAGUAUGGAAAAAAUCUCUUUGGAAACCAAGGGGGAAGUCAGUAGACUGUGUACCUUAACAGGGAAUUUACAGAGAAGGCUAGAUCUGGAGUUUUCCACUCCAAAAGGUGCUCAAAAGAGUGGGAUGAGCCAGGUUACCAUUAGAAGUGAGCCAGUCAUUCCCCUAUUUCCACUAUUAGAAGAAGAAAAGGAUAGGGGAAAGAAGAAAGCAGUUCCUGAAGGAAGUCAACCCGUGAUAGAGCCAGUUCUAGAGAAGGAAUUUCCUACCUUCCCAUUAUUGUCAUUUAAUAAUAGGAAGCAAAGCGAGCAAGAGAGGAUGAGAUAUGGGAUGCCCAUAACAACAUGAGAAUUUAGCCAAAAAGAAAGUUCUGCAGCUUCGAAUAAACCUCUUCCUUACAGGCCACCCCCAUUGGCUCAUAAGGGAGGAGGAGCCAACUGGAGGAAGCCUGAAUCAAAGAAAGAAGCGUUCACGGCUAAUGAUCGAAGCCCGAGGAACGAGUCCGCCCUUCUCUUCAAUAAUAAUAAUAUAGCUACUCAACAACUAAGGGAUGAGUUGGCUGAAUUGAGAAGGGCAGUGGUUCAAAAUGCUCAACCACGAGCUCGCCCAGUGUUCAGAGUUACUUAUCAAAAGCCUUAUCCUGAACACAUUGACGAACAAAAUCCAUUUCCCCUCAACUUCAAGAUGCCCGUGUUCCCAACGUUCACGAGUGAAGAUAGCAGUGUAUCCUCCAAAGACCACAUUUUCAAAUUCUCUAAUCACUGUGUGGCAUAUGAAGACAACCCAAACUACAAGUUAAGGUUGUUUGGAAAUUCAUUGGCGGGGCUAGCAUCUCAGUGGUAUUCUUUAUUACCCCCUAAUUCUAUUGCCAACUGGGGGCAAAUGGAGAUGGCUUUCCAUGAACAAUUUUAUAGAAUAGAACCAGAAAUGACUAUUAAUGAUCUGGUUGAAGUAAAACAAUACGAGCAUGAGUCCACAGAAGACUUCAUGAUAAGGUUCAAGAAGACAAGGAUGAGGUGCCAAUUCCCGGUUAACCAAGCUCAGCUCAUAUCAAUUGCUCAAAGGGUUCUGAGAUUACCUUUGCGGAAAAGAUUUUAUGAUACACAGUUUAAUGAGCUACAUGAAUUGGUCAUUGCUGCCAUAAAAUAUGAAAGACUAUUGCUAGAAGAACAGCAAGUGAAGCAUACUUCCAAAGCUACUCCCUUCUACAAAAACAAAGCUGCAAUUCAUCGAGUGGAGGUAGGAGAAAUCAGGCUAGAGCAGGAAGAUAGCCAUGACAGAGAGGAAGUUGAGGUAUGUGCCGCUGAGAUGACUACGCCUUUCAAACCAUUAACGGUGAAAGGAUUAGUUCAACCCAUCAAAGAUCAGAAGAUUGUGAUGAACGAUGGAGGCUUUGAUCCGAUGAAACCUCCCAAGUACCAGAGCUAUUCGUUCGAUUUAGCCAAAGCACCUGAGAUUUAUGAAGAGCUGGUGCGGGCAAGGGUAAUUGUGUCCGACAGUGCGAAAAAAAUGCCCAAACUAGAAGAGCUAAGGGGAAAGAAGUAUUGUAAGUUACACUAUACCUUCAACCAUUCUAUAACUAAUUGUGUCCAGUUCAGAGACUGGAUACAAGACCUUAUAGUGAAGGGAAAGUUGUUACUUGACAAGCCACAAGCUAGUAUAAUGGUUGAUACUAAUCCGUUCCCAGAAGCUCCUAUCAACACAAUCCAUCUAGUUUAGAUGGAGAAGCCAGUAUCAUCAGUUGUUAAGGUAGAGAUAGAAGAUGAAUCUCAGGGGUCCCACAACACCCUUGCUCGAAUAAAGUGCCAGGAGAGGGACCAAGAGGUCAUGAUCCUAUUCCAAAAGCAGUGCUGGUAAAUGAAGCAGAAGAAAGGAAAUAAUAAGCAAGGGGCAAAGAGUUGCCCGAAAGAAGUUCAAACAAGGACCAGAAGCAAAGCAAAAGGCAAACAUGUUCAUUCCACUAAAAAAGGGAUUACAAGUAACCCUAAUCUAAUAAAUUUACAUCUCCACUCAGGGUGAUUAUUCGAGAAUGAUAUGUCUGCAUGAUUGCAAAAAUCCUACUAGGUUCGGCCAACACAGUGCGACUAUUUACGAGUUGAGACUCGGUAUGCUCUAGCUCCGAGUUUGAUUUCUUCACUUCUUCAAUUUGAUUUUCGAGGGUGUCAAGAAAAGUUGCUUGCUCAGCCUUGAGAACAACCAGUUGUUCUUCUAGCUUCUAGAUUUCAGAAGUCACUACUUCGAUCCUUGCUUUUGUCAGAGAGCCGUCAUUCAUCAAUUUUUUUACCUGAGCAGAAGUGUUUGAUUUUUUUCUCCUGGAAACAUUUUACGCGAUUAGCUUGUCGUUCAGCUCUCAUAUGUUGAUCCCGGAGAGCCCUCAAGUUCUCAAAGGAAGAAAGAAAUGAGUCAUGCUGAGUUUUUUACAGUUGACCAGCUUUGAAAAGAUCAUUCGUAACCUUUUCCAGGUCACAGAGAGCUUUAAGGCUGAAUGAUGCUGAGAAGUCUUUCCUUGCCCAUUCUUGGAAAAUUCGUUGCUGCUCAGGAAAGUCGGAAGGUGAAGGAUGCUGUGAAGAUUUUAGUCUUGUUUCAAGUUGCCCGAAUUCUUUAAAAAGCUUGGGCAACUUAGCAGCUUUUGAAAAAGGAGAAGCAGGAGGGGGAUUUUGUUCUCCAGUUUCCUCUAAUGAAGUAAUGGUUAUUGGUGGGGCAGUUUUCAGCUCCCCGACCUUCUCAAUUCCAGGAUGGGCAAUCCCGGCACUCCCAAUAGUCAAAUGUGGCUGCGAAGGCUUUGACUUACGAACUAAGCGAGGAGGAGAAGCUUCUUCCACAAUUUGCUGCAAAGGCCAAAGAAGGCCAAAUUAAGACAGAAAAACAGUUUGAAGCAAAGGGAGGUGUCGGGAAGAAGAAAUAUACCUGACUAAGCCUUGGAGCUUCACAAGGAAGGGUGUUAAUUCCUGUUGAGAAGAAGGUUCUCUACCAAUGAUAGGGGAAGAAAAAGCUGCACCUGAGCCUUCACCAAUACUCUAGAAGUAUCCAGAAAUCACGGCAAUUAUUAGUAAGCAGAUGGUAAGAGAAUGACCGGAGGAAGAUAUCUCCUUACCUGAGUUCGACCCGGAGAAGAUGAAGGAGGUUCAUCAAGAGUAACUGUCGGGCAAGCAAAAACCUACAGAGUAGUUGCAUCUGAAGUCACAGGAAUCUUAGGAGCUACAGGUUCGUCACAUGUUGCUACUGACGGGUGUUGAGUGUUAUGUGGUGAAGAAGGCUGAAAAAAGAGGUAAACAGAAGUUAAUAUUGAAACAAUGUAUGGGAAAUCAAUGCAAGGAUGGUUACUCACUAAAUUACUGUCUUCAUCCACGAAGUGCAACAUUACUCCAGUAGAUGGAUCAAAUUGAGAAGAAGGAGUUGCUUUUAGGACAUAAGGAGAAAUCAAAGGAGAACCUUGACUAUGCAAGGGGGUAGAUACCCCAACCUGGAUGAAGUUGAAAGAAGAACGAAGAUCAGGCAUUAGUUCCAUAAAUUAUAAGAGUUACCUAAAGAAGGAAGGGAAUGUACCUCCGAAGGAUUAACCCAGGGGGGAGAAAGGCUGGUUUCUAGGCUAAGUGGUAAAGAGACCUCGGGCGGAUGAAGUUUUUCCUUUCUAGCAGCCUGACUCAAGAAAACAUGCACAGAGUUGUAAAGACAGGAGAGACUAUGCAGACAUAAAAAGUAAACUAUACCUCAAGUUCUUUGAGGGUGAUGUUUCGCAGGUCUUCAGGUUUUUUGUGCAUUUCGGCUCCUAAUGGUUCAUCCUUAGAGGCGAUGGUUGGUUUCUUUGAUGCUUAAGGUCCUAUGUUCAAGAAGAAACAUGAGUAACUAAGUAGAAAAGAAAGGUGGCAAUCUGAUAGAAAAGAAGACAACUUACUUGAAGACUUUUAUUUCUUUCUACCCGCUUCAGGAACCGGAGCAGGUGGGUCUGAAGACUUGAGAGUCUGGACGAUUCUGGUUCUCUUACUCUUUCUGGUGGGAGUAGGAAUUCAUCGUUUAGACUUGGGAGGAGAUGCAUGAUCAGAAUCAGAGGUCUCAAUCACAACUGUUUUCCUUCGCUUAGAUACUUGGAAGGUGGCUUCAGGCGCUUCUCUUUUAGCUCUUAAAUCUUCAGAAACAUCCCCACCUUCCCCAGCUUCUCAUCUUUUAGCCUCCGCCGCAACUCCAUGAAGAACUGCUGCAUCAGCCGAGUCAUCCUCGGACUCCGAAGGUACUGAUUCAACAUCUACUUGGGCUGCAAGGAUGAGCAAGGAAAAAGUUAAAAGGACUUCAGGGAAAAGGAUAGAGAAUCAAGAUAAGAAGAAGAAAUACUUAUCAGAAGAAUCCGAUUCUUCUCCUGGAUCAUCUCAUUCCAAUUCUCAAGUUCGCCCGAACUGGGGUAUGAUUUUAGAGAAAGUUGACUGAAGAGGCGAUUAUGAGCCUCUUUCAAAUCUCCUCCAUAUUUCCUUGCCCAUUUGUCUUCCCACCAAGAAGAGAAGAGUGAGGUGCAUUCAAAAUUAAGGAUCAUGGACUUUCGGGCAGCUUGAUUCAUAACUUCAAGAUUACGUCGGGCAGCUCGAAAGACCACCUCGGAGGGAGAUGAUAAACGAAAGGAAGUGCCAUAAUGAACGGAGUCAAAGAAAGGGAUGGGAAUGGCUUGCCUAAAGCCUAAUUGCCUGCUACAAAAGUUAGGGUGAUACACCUCUAACCCUCGAUCAUAUCGAUUGCCCCGAACUCCCCAGGCCAUGUCUCUCGACUGAAUGCAACUAAUGAAUUUUUCCCUGCAAAAGGGAGUGACAUCCUCCCCAGGAGCAUCUUGAAAAGCCUGAUCAGAGAACCAAAGAUAUCUCCUCAAGACUGAUGCACCCCAUUCUAGGUCUGAUCGAGUCCUACAAACCUAGAAAAAAUAGAAACAGGCAAAGAUGGAGUGAUCAGUAGGAGCAGCUUCAACUAAGAUUCGGGCAGGAGCCACACCUUCUGGGAGUUCUAAAUUAGUAGCCCGAAACUCUGGAAAGUACCAUUGGAGCCAGGUUUGUAUCAUUUAUAUGGGUCCAUUCAGGUUAGUUUCAAAUGGUUCGCCUUAGGUCAUUUCGAAGAGAAGAUGGUAAAGAUGGGAAAGAAGAAAUUGACCUAUUGCUACAUUAUCAAAGUUAUGAAGAGCUUCCACCAGGGGGAUCCAUUCAACCUUCACUCCUUUAGAUUUAUUGGGGAAAACAUGUUUGUUGAGCCAGUAUAGGAGGAAAUACAUGUGCUCUUGAUCCCUAUCAGCAUGAGGAGAACCUGCUCCAAAAUUUUCUUUUACAAAAGGGAUGAAUCCCUUGAACGAGGUCCCGUAACUCUUGAAGGUUGCAAAGUUAUAUUCCAGGGAGAGGAAGGAAGCGGAUGAACCUGAGCUUUCAGCAACUGAUGGGAGAGCCCAGUCUUGAGUAACAUCUACUAUCUUGCCCGAUGGCCUUAACCUGAAGACCUGGGCCAUAUCAAGAAUAGUUGGAAACAUGGGACCCAUGUGGAAAUCAAAAGUGUUUGUGCUCGAAUUCCAGAAAAGAAGAUAAGAGGCCAACAGUUCGGGUUUAGGAAUAAUGGUGGUUUUCGAGAGCAUUAUCAACUCGUAAAUACCAUUAUUCAUCCAUUUCUUCUUAAAAAUUGGCUCUAGUUCGUCAAUCCAUUGAGUCCACGCUGGAUCAUUCAUUAAUGGAAAGCCUCGAUGAUAUGAUGACCACUUGGAUGAAGAAAUGCCCGACUUAGCUGAAAAGGGGUUUGGGGAAAACCAGUUAUCCUUAGGCAUAUUGUCCUCUAUCACUGUGGGGACCUGAGAGAUCCAUGCGGGACCCAACGAUUGUACCCCAUGUACUUCAAAGAAAAGUUCAGAAUACAAACCUGCCCGAGGGCGAUGCAAGUCGUUGAGUAAACGACGCAAAGUGGCGAUACCUUCACCAGACUCAUAGGAUGGUUGGAUUAAACUGGACCCUGAAGCCACUUGAUGAAAUAUGGAAAAGGGACGGCAACAAAGGCGAUGAAGGUAGAAGAUGUCGAGCAAGGGUCAGCGGAGAAAUUGAAAGAUUUAGAAAAGAAAAACGUCUCAGAGUUAGGAAAUUUUCGAUUGUAGAAGAAGAAUGUAAGGGAUUCGUGAGUGGCUAGAAUAACUGUGGGAAGGCGGUGAUUGCUGUUGAAAAGCAUGUAAAUCCCUAGAGAGAAGACGUAGAUAUUAAUAGAGAGUUAUUCAAUCAAUAUUGGCGCCUGGAAUUCCAGUCUGAAUAUUGAUUGAAAGGGGCACUGUUUGGGUUAAAACUUAAAUCUUGGGCUUAGAAGGGAGUUGGCCCAACGAAGAGGAGAAAAGCCCGAAGUCCAGCCCAAAUCCAGAAGGCAGAAAAGGGCUUUCCCGACUAGGUGCAUGUCAUUUGCACCACUUGCUCACCUAACCAAGGGCCAAGUGGUAUAGACCUGCCAGAUGAUCAGCCCAAAAGUACUUUACAGUGGCAGUACAAGUAAAUAGCUGAUGAGUCACUACCCUUCAAGCUGUAUUCAGGCAAGGUUGCUGCUACAGGAAGACAAGCCGAGUUGUCUAUAAAAGAAGAAAGAGAAAUCAGGAAUAAAGACACUCAAUCAAACAAACAAAUACAAGCACAAACUCUGCUCAAACCAGAUUUGCCUUCAAAACGAAGCUGUAGUCAGCCCAAGCCUUCAUCCUUCUCGGGAUAAACCUUUGUAAUAGCUUUGCUACCUGGUCAAGAACCUACUGUAGUAUCGAUUUCUUUCUACAAACCCAUCUCCCUACCCUUUUUUUGAAAGUUCUCAACCUCCUUGACAAACCACAAAGAUAGGAAGUUACAAGACGAUCAGCCUUGGCCGACAAGGUUAAACCUCCCGACCUUCUUUGUUUUUGUCUUUUCAUUCAUUAGCCUAACAAUAUGUUGUAUACUACAAGUUGUAUUCAAGUUAUCUCUAGUAAUAUGGCUAUUAAAAGACUCUCUCAGCGCUUAAAUUCGAGUUGAAUAUGUCUUUAUAGUUCAAACCGGAUCUAAGUUCUAAGCCCUCGGGCAUGUAAGAUUUGAUCAUCCAAAAGUCCUUGGCCUCAAGGCAUAAAAAAGAACCUUAUGUGGACUUAACCCAUCCAUGACAAGCUUUGAUAAACAAGAAGUCCGAAGUUACUUGGGGCGCAAGUAAUCGAUCUAUCACCUAGUUUUAUUUCUAUUAUAUUAUGAUUACUAUAGAACGUUGAGUAUAGAAUGAAUUCUGAUGGGAAGCCUCAAGGCCUACACCUAAGGCCCUACAAAGGCACCUAUUUGGAUUCAUUCUGUCCUUCGGGCUAGAACGAUGAGUAUAGAAUGAAUUCUGAUGGGAAGCUUCAAGGCCUACACCUAAGGCCCUACAAAGGCACCUAUUUGGAUUCAUUCUGUCCUUCGGGUUCAGAUAAUCAGAAGUAUAAUGGUUAUAAGAUUUAUAUAACCAAGGAAACGAACCAUAUGUAUAUAUUCAAAUACUAAGUUAGUUAUUAACGGGAAGCAUCAAGGCCUACACCUAAGGCCCCACAAAUGCACCUGUCAUAACUAAAGUAGUCUCUUGGGUAUGUAUACAAUUAAAAUUCAACAAUCGUUCUACAUCUGCCAUGCUGAAGAUGGUAGUGGCACGCCUGAGCACUUAAAAGUUAAUCUUGAUUGUGAGCCUCAAGGCCUACACCUAAGGCCCCACAAAGGCACCUUUCAAAGUUAACUAUGUCCUUCUCUUUCAGCCUUGCCCGACUAGGCUUUGAUCGACAAGCCCGCCAGUAAAGCAGAAGCCCGACAUGAAGCAUCAACCGGCACCGACCUCUCGGGGAGCUGUGUGCUCGUCGGCCAGGGAACAUCCCCGACGGAAAUUCCUGCCACGAACACAAACGCACUCUGGUGUGGCGAGAUAAUAGUAGAGAACAUCCCUUUGAGGCACUUAGCUAACACUUUAGCCGCUAUCUUAUACAUUACACUGCAUAAGCUAAUUGGCUUUAAUUGGGUCAUAUCUUGAGGUUCGUUCACUUUUAGUACAAGCAUAACAUGCGUAAAGCAAGCUUCACGUAAUAAAUGACCUGAACUCAGGAAAGAUUGAACUGCCUCUACCACAUCUGUCCCCACAAUAUGCCAAAAUUUAUGAUAGAAGAGUGGAGACUUCCCGUCGGGUCCCGGAGACUUGGAAUGAUGCAUUUGAAGCAAAGCCGACCUAAUCCCCUCUUCCGUAUAUGUCAAACUUAAACUAUUAUUUUCAGAGUUGUAAUAAGUAUUUUUAGAAAUAAUAAUAAUAAUAAUAAUAAUUGUUUGGACCAGAAAUUACAUCUUCGGCCUGUACAAUCAAGGCCGUUGAAUGGGCGUAGCUCAUAACCGUUGGAUGAAAAGAAGUGAAGAUAAUUUUGUAAUUAUUGAAGGAUAAUAUUGUGAUUUUUAUCAUAAUUAUCUUUUAAUAGUGAUUUAUCUUGUCUUUUUCUUAUGAAAGAUGGAAAAUAUAUCUCAGGCUGGAAACAAGCGGCACGAUUCGAAUUGGUUUGAAUGUGUGGUUUGGAUCAAUUUUGGUUGACGGAUCUGCAUGCAUACGAUGAGGUUGAGGGAAAAAAUGGUGAUAUGCUUGGGAAAUAAUUCUACACGUGGUGGCGAUAAGAUGGCAAAACAAUUGUUGGGACACAUGGUCUUCAUGCAUGCAUGGGAAACUUGCGGAUUGGGUGAAUUCCAAUAGGUAAUUGGAUAGACAUCUGCAACGUGUAGGGCAAAUAAGCAUUUGAGAAAAGCAAGGUGAUUGUUUUGAGAAUUGAAUUGCCGUGUGUGGCUUUCCAACUAAUGUAGUGAUGGGAUAAAAGAUAAAGUCAAAGGUUGGAAUAAACUAGAUUAGCAUACAGAAGUCCCAUUUGCCGUCCAGAUCCGUAUGGUGUCGUCAUUUCGUGUCUCAGAAUAUUCCAUUACUAGGUCUCCAGAUGCAAUUGAAACGUUCUGCUUAUCAUCCAGGCCACGGUAAAUACGUACAUCAGUCCUAUAAAUACAGAGGAAGUGCAACAUUCAAAAGGACCCCCAAUUUAACACACAACUGCCCUAUGCAAACUCUCUCAACAACUUGAGAUUUUUUAUUUUCCAUUUUCGCUGACACAUCUUCCGUUGGCAUCAACAGCACUGUGAAAGCAACCGGUGAUAUCUUAAGUCGGCAUAGAUAGCUCUAUCACCGUAGAAUUAGCCGAUCUCGCAGUAUCUUCCGUUGGCAUCAACAACACUACGACGAGGACGGUUGGUUACCUAUCCAAGUCUCGGUCGAGAAGGAUUUCCGAAUCCUUAUUGGUCGAGGUCAUCUCAUUAGCCUUCUCGGCGAAGUGAGGUGUUACAAGUUAUUACAUUCGGCACAUUGAAAGCCGAAUUUGAUAUUGAACUUUGUAAGAAUAGUAGCCUUGUCUUCAGGUUCGAGAACCCAAGAGGCCGAGACGUGUUCCUUCCUCGGCCGCAAUCGCAAGACGCAGAAGUCAGCCGCGCACCCAACGCAACAUCAACAAAUUUACUCCUCGGCCGAGCUCGGCCAACGAGUUGGCACGCCCCGCACACAACCGAAGGACGUAGUUAGCUCAUAGAUUACUUGGCCUGCGCUCCAUGUAGGCUUGGUAGUUUUUAGGAUCAACAAUAAUAAUAAUAAUGAUGAUGAUGAUGAUGAUAAAAAUGUUUAGGAAUGUGAUCAUGUAAAUCCUAUCAUAUCUAAGAUAUCCUUAUGGGAUUCUACCAUAUCUCUUAUACUAGAUAUUAUCCUAUUAGAGUUGUCAUCCUAUUAGGGUAAGGAAUUUACCUUCCCUACUACUAUAAAUAAAGGCACAAUAGGGUGAGAUAACAUACAUCUCACAAUUACACAUCUCUCUUCUCUCUCUGUUACUGCCACGCCCCAUUUCUCUGUCCUUUAUAAUGAUUCAGUAAAUUAGGCCUACAACACAUUAUCAGCACGCUCUUGACAUUGCGCUAAAAAGAGUUUAUUCUUCAGUCAUGAGAGUAUUACGUUUUAAUCAUCCUUUUUAUGAUUAAUUUAUUAUUUUAUUGAAUUCAUCGACAUGCUAUUCAUUAAAUUUAAUUUUUCUUUGUUGAACGUGAUGCAAUGCAUUGGAGAUGCAAUUCCGGCUUUUAGAGAAGGAUCUUCUACAAAUUCAAAGGCCCUAUUGUUUUCUGCCAAUCAGGUUCUUUUAAAAUAAAUUAAGAUAAUUGAAAUGUCCAUGAAGCAUGAAAAUAUUCCUCCUAAAGCAUGAAUCCCCUACAUUUAUAUUUUCCUUUUGAUAUAUAUAUAUAUAUAUAUAUAUAUAUAUAUAUAUAUAUAUUGUAUAUGUUCAUAUAUUUUUCAAUAUGUAUACGUUUAUGCAUUACGCAAUUAUAAAUCGGUAUGUGGAAUUUGUGAGCCAAAGAAUCGAAAGAAAAUAGAAGUAAUUUUGGGUUUUUCCAAACCCUAGAAUUCGAAAAAGAAAAUAGAAAAAAAAAUCUGGGAAUUGUGUCGAAGCCUUGGUUGGCUUGCAGCCAAGCCGCGUUGAGCCACACCUAGAACGACAUUGUUUCAAUGUUUAGUGAAAACAGCAGCCCUCUUGGCAAACCAGGCCGAACGCCUGGGUUCUUCACGAUUGGGCCUGCAGUCUCAAUCUAUGCCCUCCUCAUCAGAAGCCAACCUUGCUAGUCUUCUGCCUCCAGCCAACACUCAAGCCUCCAGCAGCUGACUGGGCUUGUUCCCCUAAUUUUUCCCUCGACCUGUGUUACAGCAGCAUGCCUACUGCUACAGAUUUAUUUUUUUCCCGGCCCCGCUCUCUUUUAUCUCUAUAGCCUGCAGUUGCAUCACUGGACCUUUGUGACUUGGCCCAAUCGCUGCUUUCUCACUGCAACAGCUGUUGUUGGGCUUACAGAUCCAGCAGCCCGCACCAGUCUGACUUACAGCAAGCAACCUGAUGUUGUUGGGUUGUUCUUGUUCUCAGCCUAAAGCCAUUUUUGGCUUUUUUUUUCAACCCGCACCCAUUUAUUUUUUUGGUGCCUAAUUUCAUGGCUUUAACCUAUUUUAAAGUCUUUGCUUUUGCAUGUCAUGCAACCAUCUAGCCCAAUAUAUGGCCUAAAACUUUGCAUUAUUUUGCUUUUACAAUCGACCCCGAAUGGUCUCGAUUUAUUGAAUUAAUUAUUAGUGACCAGCAGUCCAUUAAUUUGACAAGAUAUACAAAAUUAUUUGCCUGAAGCCCACUUUUGGACAUUAACAUUUCAAUAUUUUAUUUCUUUUCUUUGAAUUGAUGACUCCCUUUCAUAGUCCCAAAACACUCACAAUUGAGUUCCUAAAGCAAUUUUGUAUAUUAUAUUCUAUUUUCUUACAGGUACCUCCGUUUAUGAACUGGAAGUUCAUAACUAAAUUUGAACCUAUAGUUUCGACUUUAGUGCCUAUAAAACCCGAAAUUUUCAUAAAACAAUACAACAAUGAAAACCCGACGUUUUUCAUGUACACCAUGUCUUAGAACUUGAAAUGUUCGAACUUUGAUGCUUAUGGAUAUCAUAUUUCAAUAGCACUAAUCAUAAUCUUGUUCUUUCCAUUCAAUGGAUUGUCAAACCGUCACAAGUUCGAUUUCCUUGAUUUGGACGUUUCUAACAGAAACCACUUUAUGUGGGUACAAGACUUGAAUCUUCACUUGACUAUCAAGAAGUUGAGAAACCAUUGAAGCCAACAAUGCCAUGGAACAGCCGAAUAAGCCUUUGCCAUAAUCUUCACUUGAAGAUUUAUGCCUGAAGCAUUACAAACGGAAAUACCUUCCAAACGAGGAUUCCAUGCUUUUUGGCUCGCUCUUAUGGACCGUUUAAUCAUGAUAAAUUUUUCCUGAAGCACACCAUGAUUACGUCGAUGAAUGAGUACGAUUAUGAAGUUUAUAAAUCUGAUCAAAUUUUGACUGGAGAACACUUAUCAUCCUUCCAUGUUUCUAACUCGUUCCUGAAGUAAUAGUGUAGAAAGCAGAAGUUUACCAAAUUCUCGGAUCUUAUUACUACCAUAAAUGUGAGAGACCAGUAUAGACUCAACUUCGGCUGUAGUCUACCGAAUGGUGAUACCCAGUUUCGGUUGGGGCCCACUGAAAUGUAUGCUCUGCUUCGGCAAAAGCUUACCAAACAAACCUCUCCAGCUUCAGUUGGAACCUUUCAAACCCAAGUUUGGGCUUGUCUAUCUCAUAAUCCAAUUUCAAGUUUUUUUUAGUUAUGGAUGAUCUUAUCGAUAUUGUCUUCGAAUAUGAGUUAAUUGACCGAAUUCAAUUAAACACGUGGGAGAGUUGUCUGGAUGAAUGCAAUACUAUGCACACUAACUUUAUACCUAAAUCACAUCUCUAGCAACGACUUCAGAUCUAUCCAACAUGAUUAAGAGCAUUGGCACACUCCUUGUUGUAUGAAUGGUACUAAAUUACCAUUUAAGAGACAUUAUAUUCUCCCUGUUCCGAAAGAACAUCGUUAAGUCUUUACGGAUAUUCGAGAGAACAAUGAUCAACAAUGAAACCACUGAAGAAAAUAGAGUGGAAUAUCUUUGCGCCACCUCAAAAAUACAAAGCCUGAAUCUAUAUUUUGGGGCCAAGGGGUUGCCUCCUAGCUGGGAUGCGCCACAUGUGGCCGGCCUAGAGCCGGGUGAUUGAGCACUUUGCUUUCUUUGGCACGACCAUUUAGGACACUUAGGUCAAACAAUGAUGCUGUGACGCAUGUUCUUACCCGAAGUAAGGAUAUUAUGCUUACAAGCACACUUUGCCAAGCUCACUUGUUUAGGAAAUUUGAUCUUUUAUAUCAUCCCUCAUAAAGAUACGAAAUCACCUUCUUUUCACAGUGGAUUCAAGGAAAUAUAUAUAGACCAAUCCAACCAAAAUGCGGACCAUAUAAAUACUUAUGGUUUUGGUUGAUGUAUUGACAAAAUGGUCACAUGUUUGUCCACACACAUUGUUGCUUAACCUCUUGGCUAAUUCUAAGGGUUCACCACCCUAAUUAUCCCAUAAAGUCUAAAAGACUGGAUAAUGCCAGAGAGUUCAUAUCAAAGAUGCUUAGAUAAGUACUGCAUUUCUUUUGGGUUUAUAAUUGGACAUUGAAUUCCCAUGUUCACCCUAAAAUAGCCUCGCAGAGCAAUUAUAGAAGCGCAAUUUAAAUGAUCAGCUGAACCUUGGUGAACACACCAAUCUUUCUACUUUUGCCUAGGGCUAUGCAACCUUUACGCAGCUAUAAUGGUCCGCUUUAAGGCCCAUUAACACCCAACCAUUUCUAGUGUUACAGUUAGUUACUGGGUACAAACCUAACGUUUCAUACUUACGCAUUUAGGUGUGCAUUCCAUGUGCCAAGUUGUUCUGCCGCAACAUACCAAUAUGGGUCCUCAAAGAAAGAUAUGAAUACUUGCCGAUCAUGAUUCUCAUUCGCACUAGCUCUUUAGAGCCCUUGCAAGCGAUCAUUUUACUGUUCAUCUUGUGGAUUGUUACUUCAAUAAGACAGUCUUCCCACUAUUAAGGGAGAUAAAAGCAUCAAUGUUCUUGUACAAAGGCGUGAAUUUGCAUGGAUGUUGUCCACAAUGUCUCAUCUCGAUCACCAUGCCCAUAAGUGUGAUAUAGGCAAGUUCGAUGUAAUCUAGCUUUCAGAAUGUUGCUCCAGACGUAUUCCUCUAAUCUCACUAAAGUGAUGAGACCAUAUACAUGCUGCAAAUAGACCUGCAAGGAUAGAUGUACUUAACGAAUGUCGAGUCAACAUCCUUGAAAGAUGUGCUGCCCCUGAAGGAUGUGCCACCCCUAACCCCUAAAGGACGGUUUGGCUGCACCUGUUGGACGGUCUAGUACAUUAGCAGAUAGCCAAAUAAUCUGUCUUGACCUGAAGCAUGCCAGAUCACUCGGUUCAUAGGAUUCACUUACCUAGAAGAGUAAGGUCAUGUCACGAAAUGAAUCCAUGCUCGAUCGCUCUCUCAAUCAUUUUCACCUUAUGAGAUUAAUCCGGAUUACUCCUGAGACUUGAAAUUCUUGGUCCAGUAUACUAGUUUGGAUAAGAUAAUGGAAUUGGAAUGAUCUAUUAGUAAAGAUACAUCACCGCCCCUACACGCGACCGCUGAAGGUACUACGGAUUUACGCUAAUCCUAAUACAUCCCGAGCGGAUUCGACCCCCUGGUCUUUGGAAUGAUGUUUACCUUGUUUGUUAUGUUGUCACUGAUUACGUAUCAAACCCGCAUAAGUCACAUCCCUACACGAUUAUGUUUUUACUGUUAGGGAUAUCAUAAUAUCUUGGAGGUUCACGAUAUGACCUUAGUUGCAAAAUCUUUGAAUCAUUCCAAGACUCACCUAACUUCACUAUGCCACACGUGAGACAUGGUUGAGAGCUCUUAUUGAGCAUAUUCAAAGUACAUGCUGUUUUCAUUCAUCGUUGAUUCCUGAUGACGAUCCAUGAAGACUAUGCCACAUGUAUCCACCUGACCAAGACAAGAUACAUCAACAAAGUCAACUCCAAGACAUAUUGCGCCUACAUCAUAUCAGUAAAGCAUUAGGAGAUUGAAGUCAUGCAAGCUGAUCCUAGACAACCUUGCCAACCUCUACACGACGUCACUACCGAAGUCAACCUUCCAGAACCUUGUCCGAGGAAUUGGUGUGCCUAAUUAUUCAUACACAAUGUUUGUAGUUCUCAUUUCACAGUUUUGUCAUACUCAGGGGGAGUAUCCAUAAGUAUACUCACUUGAUCUUAAUGUACUCUUUUUCCUUACAAUUAGGAGCAAUUUUCCCACUGGGUUUUUUUACCUAACUAGGUUUUGAGGAGGCACCCAUCCUGAAGCUGGUCAUACCCUUGUGAGCUAUUCUACUUGAUCUAGAAGAUGUUUAGUUUUGACUUAAUGCAACUUCUCACUUUUCUCCUUACUCUAUAGGUUUUUCUCCCACAUUGGGUUUUACCAUAGCGAGGUUUUGUAAGCUUUCCUUUUUAUGCAUUCUUUCGUUGAUUUGAGACUCUCAUUCAUUCAUUGUGCCGACGACUUCAUCAGCUGUUUUUACUUUAUUGCUGAAGACCUGAUGCACCAUUUACUUGAGUAUUUACAUGCUCAAGGGGAAGUGUUGUAGUCCUAUUAGAUUAGGAAUGUUAUCGUGUAAAUCCUAUCAUAUCUAGGAUAUCCUUAUGGGAUUCUACCAUAUCUCUAAGACUAGAUAUUAUCCUAUUAGAGUUAUAAUCCUUUGGGGUAUAUUGGGGUAAGGAAUUCACCUUCCCUACUACUAUAAAUAAAGGCACAAUGGGGUGAAAUAACACACACCUCACAAUUACACAUCUCUCUCCUCUCUCUGUUGCCGCUGCACACUCUCUCUUUGUCCUUUAUAAUGAUUUAUAAAUGAAGCACCACGAGAAAAUGGAAGACAUCGCCAACCACCAUUGGUUAACACCACCUCAUCUAAAUGGGAAUGAACAAAGCUUCCCAUUUGGGGUUUAAGAUCACUUGUCCAUCUAUAUGGCACUGAACCCCACAGGUAAAGACAAGUAGGAUGGUGAAACGAUGCAUUAUGUGGGUAAAUCCCAUAUGGAUCAGGAUUGCUUUCAGCAUAAUGUCUAGAAAAGUAUGGAAGCAGGUUGCUGCCUUGGGAAAGGAAUGAGGAGCUCCACUGUGCAUGUGGGAUCCAAAAGGAUCGCCAUAUCUAGGAUAGUUCUUUGAAUUAUGCCCGGAAGAGUGUGGAGUGUAUGUAUAAAAUGUGGAGUUUAUGUUGAGAGCGUAGGGUGUGAGGAUAUUAUGGGAAAGUAUGCGGGUUAUAUUCAACAAUAUGUGGUGUAUAUGAAGAUAAAUUUUAAUUAAAAAAGAAAGUGUGUGGUGUAUUAAGUAUGUGAGGUGUAUUCAACAAUAUGUGGAAUGUCAAUAGAACAACCCUUUAUUAAUCAAUAAAAAUAGAUUUAGUGUUGCUGUCUAAUUAGGUACCAAUCACAUUUACUGUUAAUCUACAUCAAGCCACAUAAGAAUUGACAUUUCUGUUGGAAAAUAAUAAUGUUGUUUUUUUCUUUACUGUUAUUGGUGAUGUGACAUUUUUUACUACAUCAUUUCUUUUGUUUACUACCAAUAUCUAGCAAUGGCACACUCGCUCACAUGAUUGCUUUCAAGUCUUGUAUUGGCACCGAAGGUAAAAAAACACUCAGGACAAACAAUUUAUUGAAGUGACCUAGACCAACCAGACAGUAAGAAUAUUCUGACGAUGUAGGUCAUAGUUAAUUAUGAAGGGCAUUUAUAAUUCCUCCUAUUAGUUCCAUCUAAUAAUUACUUUAGUCUAAAGAAAGGUUGGAAAUGGCACCGUUGAAAUGAACAGUGUUUCAUUCUGAUAUUUCUGUUGGUUUUGGGUCUGCAGCCUGGCCCUUAGCCAGGCUUAAAUGCGUUGGUUUUGGCUGGGAAGCUCGGCCCUCAGUAAGGCCCAGAUUAUUUAAUUACAUUUUUCCCAUCUAAGAUUACAAUCCUAAGGUGGGGAUGGUCUAUUACGAAGGGCAAUUGUGUCCUCUCCAUUUUGGGUGAGAUGAGGGUCACCGGGUAUGUAUCAUUUGUUGUAGUUCAAUUAGGGUUUUGAGAAGGGUCUGCGAGAAAGAGAGAUAGAGAGAAGGAGAGAGACACAGAGACAAAGACAGAGAUAGAGAUGGCGAUGGAAGGAGAGCAAGGGGAGGGGUAGGGGUAUCGACACUGUUUCUUAGUAUGUUAGGUCCAGUUUUGGGGGAUUUGUGAUUUUAUAAAGAGAGAUGGAUAGGGAGAUUGAAAUUGACAGAGGGAGGAGAAAGGUUGAUGCGUAGGGUCAGUGAGGUGAGUGACAGAGGAAAUUUGAUCUUCUAUAUCAUCCAUCACAAAGAUACGAAAUCAACUUCUUUUCACAGUGGAUUCAAGGAAAUAUUUAUGGACUAAUCCAACCAAAAUGUGGACCAUAUAAAUAAUUAUGGUUUUGGUUGAUGUAUUGACAAAAUGGUCACAUGUUUGUCCACACACAUUGCUGCUUAACCUCUUGGCUAAUUUUAAGGGUUGACCACCCUAAUUAUCUCAUAAGGUCUAAAAGACUGGAUAUUGCUGGAGAGUUCAUAUCAAAGAUGCUUAGAUAAGUACUACAUUUCUUUUGGGUUUAUAAUUGGACAUCGAAUUCCCAUGUUAACCCUAAAACAGCCUCGUAGAGCAAUCAUAGAAGUGCAAUUUAAAUGAUCAGCUGAACCUUGGUGAACACACCAAUCUGUCGAAUUUUGCCUAGGCUAUGCAACCUUUACGCAUCUAUAAUGGUCCGCCUUAAGGCUCAUUGACACCCAACCAUUUCUAGUGUUACAGUUAGUUACUGGGUACAAACCUAACGUUUCAUACUUACGCAUUUAGGUGUGCAUUCCAUGUGCCAAGUUGUUUUGCCGCAACAUACCAAUAUGGGUCCUCAAAGAAAGAUAUGAAUAUUUGUCAAUCAUGAUUCUCAUUCGCACUAGCUUUUUAGAGCCCUUGCAAGCGGUCUCUUUACUGCUCAUCUUAUGGAUUAUCAUUUCAAUAAGAUAGUCUUCCCGCCAUUAGGGGAGAUAAGAGCAUCAUUGUUCUUGUAGAAUGAUGUGAAUUCGCAUGGAUGUUGUCCACUAUGUCUCAUCUCAAUCGCCAUACCCAUAGGUGUGAUAUAGGCAAGUGUGAUGUAUUCUAGCUUUCAAAAUGUUGCUCUAGACGUAUUCCUCUAAUCUCACUAAAGUGACGAGACCAUAUACAUGUUGCAAAUAGACCUGCAAGGACAAACGUACUUAACAGACAUCGAGUCAACAUCCCUGAAAGAUGUGCUGCCCCUGAAGGAUGUGUCACCCCUAAAGGACGGUUUGGCUGCACAUGUUGGAUGGUCUAGUACAUUAGCUGAUAGCCAAUUAAUCUGUCUUGACCUGAAGCAUGACAGAUCACUCGGUUCAUAGGAUUCACUUACCUAGAAGAGUAGGGUGAUGUCACGAAAUGAAUCCAUGCUCGAUCGCUGUCUCAAUCAUUUUCACUUUAUGAGAUUAAUCCGGAUUACUCCCGAGACUUAAAGUUCUUGGUCCAGUAUACUAGUUUGGAUGAGAUAAUGGAAUUGGAAUGAGAUUAUCAUCAAUGAUGUUUUCACUUAUAUGGUAGCUACCUACGUAAAUGAAAAGCGACGAUAUUGAAACGUAUUUUGUUGAUUAAUGACAAUGCAGAACUGAUUGGAUAUCCAAAAUUAGAAUCCAGAUUAAAUUCCUUACCAAAGUGUUCUUGGACUUAUCAUUCCUACAUUGCCCAAGGUAACCCUGUUGUGUUACAAGUGGGAAAUGAAGCGAAUGAGAUGAAUGAAAUAAUGUGAUAUGAUGCACGCAUCACGGCAAAGUUUCUCUCAAACGCCCUAGGAUUGAUAACAGUAUUAUUGAAUGUGGUUAAUGUUUCUCCAUACGGAUAUUGAUACGGAGAUUGACAUGUAAGUUCACGAAGAAUUGCAUGGACUAGUUCAAAUAGUUCCAAACCACGGAACACCCUCUUAACUCUUUUGAGGCGUUCACUUACAGAUUGAAGCAAUUUGACGGAUGUCGUAUACCUGUCAAAGUGAUUAUUUGAUUAGGUAGGGAUAUGAAUUAUGCCUUUGCGUGUUAAACUAUGAAGUCAUAUUAAGAAUGCUAGAGUUACAGUUUAUAUUGUAGACUUGAAUCUCAUUAAGUAUCCGGAAGAGCUUGAGAAAACUGCCUCACACCUAAAGACAGAAUUUGAGAUGAAGGAUCUUGGGAAAACUCGUUUAUACCUUGACCUGAAGCUUAAGUGUUGUUAUGACGGUACUUUGGUAUACCAGUCGAAUUACAUCCCAAAUGUGUUUCCUUUUAGUAUACCUAUGAUCUUCCAUACGCUAUAUGCAAAUGAGACCCUUGAAGAGGUUAUGGAAUCUAAAGUUCCAUAUCUGAGUUCAACUUUGCGCUUUGUUAUACUUAGCUCAUUGCGUUAGCCAAGACAUAUCCUUUGCUGUUGAUUUAUUAGUAAAGAUGCAUCACCGUGCCUACAUGCGACCGCUGAAGGUACUACGGAUUUGGGCUAAUCCCAAUACAUCUCGAGCGGAUCCGACCCCUUGGUCCUUGGAAUGAUGUUUGCCUUGUUUGUUAUGUUGUAGCUGAUUACGUAUCAAACUAAUACAAAUCACAUCCCCAAAUGGUUAUGUUUUUACUGUUAGGGAUAUCAUAAUAUCUUGGAGGUUCACGAUAUGACCUUAGUUGCAAAAUCUUUGAAUCAUCCCAAAACUCACCUGACUUCAAUAUGCCACACGUGAGACAUUGUUGAAAGCUCUUGUUGAGCAUAUUCGAAGUACCUAUUGUUUUCAUCCAUCGUUGAGUCCCGAUGACGAUCCAUGAAGACUAUGCCACAUACAUCCACCCGACCAAGACAUUAUACAUCAAGAAAGUCAACUCCAAGACAUAUUGCGCCUACAUCACAUCAUCAAAGCAUUAGAAGAUUGAAGUCAUGCAAGCUGAUCCUAAACAACCUUGCCAACCUCUACAAGACGUCACUACCGAAGUCAACCUUCCAGAACCUUGUCCGAGGAAUUGGUGUGUCUAAAUUCAUACGCAAUGCUUGUAGUUCUCAUUUCAAAGUUUUGUCCAACUCAGGGGAAGUAUCCAUAAGUAUACUCACUUGAUCUUAAUGUACUUUUUUUCCUUACAAUUAAGAGCAAUUUUCCCGUUGGGUUUUUCUACCUAACUAGGUUUUGAGGAGGCACCCAUCCUGGAGCUGGUCAUACCCUUGUGAGCUCUUCUACUUGCAUCAAGAAGAUGUUAAGUUUUGACUUAAUGCAACUUCUCACUUUUCUCCUUACUCUAUAGGUUUUUCUCCCACCUUGGGUUUUACCAUAACGAGGUUUUGUAGGCUUUCCUUUUUAUGCAUUCUUCCGUUGAUUUGAGACUCUCAUUCACUCAUUGUGCCGACGACUUCAUCAGCUGUUUUUACUUUAUUGUUGAAGACCUGAUGCGCCAUUUACUUGAGUAUUUACAUGCUCAAGAAGGAGUGUUGUAGUUCUAUUAGAUUGGAAAUGUUAUCGUGUAAAUCCUAUCAUAUAUGGGAUAUCCUUAUGGGAUUCUACCAUAUCUCUAAGACUAGAUAUUAUCAUAUUAGAGUUAUAAUUCUUUGGGGUAUGUUGGGGUAAGGAAUUCACCUUCCCUACUACUAUAAAUAAAGACACAAUGGGGUGAGAUAACAUACACCUCACAAUUACACAUCUCUCAUUUCUCUCUGUUGCCGUUGCACACUCUCUCUUUGUCCUUUAUAAUGAUUUAUAAAUGAAGCACCACGAGAAAAUGGAAGACAUCGCCAACCACCACUGGUUAACACCACCUCAUCUAGAUGGGAAUGAACAAAGCUUCCCAUUUGGGGUUUAAGGUCACUUGUCCAUCUGUAUGGCACUGAACCCCGCAAGUAAAGACAAGUAGGAUGGUGAAACGAUGCAUUAUGUGGGUAAAUCCCAUAUGGAUCAGGAUUUCUUUCAGCAUAAUGUCUAGAAAAGUAUGGAAGCAGGUUGCUGCCUUGGGAAAUGAAUGAGGAGCUCCACUGUGCAAGUGGGAUCCAAAAGGAUCGCCAUAUCUAGGAUAAUUCCUUGAAUUAUGCAAGGAAGAGUGUGGAGUGUCUGUAUAAAAUGUGGAGUUUAUGUUGAGAGCGUAGGGUGUAAGGAUAUUAUGGGAAAGUAUGCAGGUUAUAUUCAAUAAUAUGUGGUGUAUAUGAAUAUAAAUUUUAAUUGGAAAAGAAAAUGUGUGGUGUAUUAAGUAUGUGAGGUGUAUUCAACAAUAUGUAGAAUGUCAAUAGAACAACCCUUUAUUAAUCAAUAAAAAUAGAUUUAGAGUUGUUGUCAAAUUAGGUACCAAUCACCUUUGCUGUCAAUCUACAUUAGGCCACAUAAGAAUUGACAUUUCUGUUGGAAAAUAAUAAUGUUGUCUUUUUUUUACUGUGAUUACUGAUGUGAAAUUUUUGACUCCUUUGAAAAUGAUCAUUUCUUCUGUCUACUACCAACAUCCAGCAAUGGCACACUCGCUCACAUGAUUGCUCUCAAAGCCUUGUAGUGGCACCGAGGGUAAAAAAACACUCAGGACAAACAGUUUAUUGAAGUGACCUAGACCAACCAAACAGUAAGAAUAUUCUGACAAAGUAGGUCGUAGUUAAUUAUGAAGGGCAUUUAUAAUUCCGCCUAUUAGUUCCAUCUAACAAUUACUUUAGUAUAAAGAAAGGUUGGAAAUGGUACUGUAGAAAUGAAUAGUGUUUCAAUCUGAUCUUUCUGUUGGUUUUGGGUUAGCAGCCCGGCCCUAAUUGUGUCCUCUCCAUUUUGGGCGAGAUGGGGGUCACCAGGUAGGUAUCAUUUGAUGUAGUUUGAUUAGGGUUUCGAGGAGGGUAAGGGUAUCGGCACUGUUUCUUAGCAUGUUAGGUUCGGUUUUGGGGGAUUUAUGAUUUUAUAGAGCGAGAUGGAUAAGGAGAUUGAGAUUGACAGAGGGAGGAGAAAGGUUGGUGCGCAGGGUCAGUGAGGUGAGUGACAGAGGGGUGUAUGGCAGAGAGAAUAUGAGGGAUGGAAGAGUCGUGGGUGAGAGAAGAGGAGAUAGGGAAGAGUCGUGCGUUGCAAACGGGAUGAGAGGAAAGACGGGAUGAGAGAGGGAGGGGUGGGAUGAGCGAAUCAAGGGUAGGGGUUCUAGCUGGAAGCCAUUUCCACGACAAUUAAUGGGGAAGGCAUGGUUGUGUGCAGUUGGUGGGAUUGGUCGGUCAGGAAGGGGUUAUUGAGGGAGGUAUGGGAGAGUUUGAUUUCACUGUUCCCACCCUUACUUGAACAGGUAAUACACUGUUUCCUCCCUUGAUUUCUCUGUUUCGUGAUGAGAUAAAGAUAGAUAGGGAGAGAUGGAUAUGGAGAUAGAGAUAGAUAGAGAGAGGAGAAAGCAUGGCUGUGUGCAUUUGUUGGGAUUAAUUAAUGGGUUAGUGUGUAGGGUCAGUGAGGAGAGAGUCAGAGAGGGGUGUAUGGUAGGGUAUGGCUUUUCGUUUUUUCCCUUUGAUUUAAUAGGUUAUGCACUGUUUGACAAUAAUUGUUUGUUGUUUUGUUUUGCUUUUGCUUUGUUAGAACCAUCAUUCGAUUUUUGGGUUUCACUGUCCUCAUUUUUGUGCUUCUUCAAAAUUUUCUUAGUUCCUUAUGUAUUCGUUGGUUCUGUCUAAUUUUUGGUUGUGGGAUGAUGCUUGCAGGUGAACUAGGUGCACGGUAUUUUGGGACAAGUUAGGAAGAUCCACAUGAAAACAACAUGGAAGAUAGAGAACUGGUAUGCUGCUUUGUCUUUCUGUUGGAUUUUUAUGUUUAUGUUCUACUGCUAAGAGGAUUUUAAAAUGUUCUAAAUCUGUUUUGUAAAUGUGCUUAAAGAUUGCACAUGUUCUUGAAUAUCAACCAUGUUGUUUGGAUUGAAUAUGUGAUUGAAUAUUGGAGAAGAUACCAUCUUGCUUGAUUUCAAUUAAAGACUACUAAUUUGAUCGGCUUAUAUAAAGUUUGUUUAUGUUUGAGAUGUAUUUUGUUCGAAUCUCUAAACUGAACAGUGCAUUCAUAACCUCUAGGUCCGUAUCAUGCAUGGUGAGUUAUCUGUGAACAUCACCCUAAGUACCUUCUUGAAAUGCUCGAUUUCAGGAAUGAGAGUUGAGAUGGCUUCCAUGAAGAGGGAUGCAGAGCAUUACUCGCGCUAGGUGAUAUCUGCUUUUUCUCUUUUCGUAUAUCUUCAUAUGAAGAGUUUUACUAAGUUAUAUUGAGCACUAUGUUAUUUAUAGGUUAUAUUUUCCACUUUGCAGGAACACAUGGAGCUAGGGAAGUGCUAUCGUGAACUCACUGAUCUACUGGUAAUGUCACUCAAGACACUUAUUUACAUGGUCAAAGAUCGCAUUUUUAUGACACUUCUUAUUCCAUCUGUUUUCAUGUUUCCGUUUCUUUUUUCUGGUUAUCAUACUUAAACUGCUUUAUUUGUGCAAGCUGCUACUACGCGCUUGAAUGCAUUUAUUACUGGCAGGAUGCGAAGAAAGCUAGAUAUAUGUGCGGGAUCGCUUGUUUAGUGUUAGGGUUUUAACAACUAAUUGUUAGCAGCUAGAAGCUUUGGUUAGAUGAAUGCUAAUCUGAUUUUCCUUACAAUACUUGAGUGCCAGUUUCAUAGUGUUUGUUCCCGGCUGGAUACCUGCUAUAUAGUUUCAUUUCUGUUUCUUCAUAACUUUAAAUGCAUAUUGAGUACAAUGAAUGUCCAUUGUUAUCUAACUGUUGGGCUUUACUAUCUUUGUAGCAGCCUGCCUAACAUUUUUUAGGCACUACACUCCAAUUUAAUGAAAAAUUCAAAGAUUGGACGGUAUUGAUUGAAGAAAUGAAAAAAAUACUAUGAUAAUAGAAAUGUGAAUGUCGUUGUGUUAGAAGAAGCGUCUAGCAUGAUGGGUAAUAUUUUAAGUUUGUAUUUCUAAAAUUUUUUCGUUCUAGAGUAUGAUUUACCUCAAUUGUUUUGUACUUUAAUCUUUACUAAUUUUAAUUGUGGAGUAUGAUUUACCUCAACUAACAACUUUUCAUUGUUUAACUUUUUCCUCCCUUAGAUAGUUGAAUAUGUUUGAUUUGUUAAUAUGCUUCUUACACAUGUUGUUGCCUUGGGUUGCCGGAUGCAUGUGCAGAUUACUCGAAUAGACGAAGCUAAGGAUGACUUAGUAUUGAGUGAGAAAGAAGGUUGGGUCAGUUGGAUUUUUCUACAUUUGAUUUAUUCAUGUUUUUUGUUGCUUGCAAUGUUCUCUCAUUGUUUGUUGUGAGAUUCUAUGAUCUUAUUUUUAAUAAGAACUAACAUUGGUUUGCCAUAUAAUGUUUCAGGAACUUAUACAACAACUAAACACCUUGCUUAGCUCUCACGAGACAUACUUAACAGGUUAACAAACACUAACCUAUAAACUGAUUUGCUGAGCUGGACCAUUAACCUCUGUUUAUAUCCCUGCCACUCAUCUUUUGGCAAUUAUCAAUAGCAAAAUCUAGAGUUGCAAAAACCCCAAUUUUAAUGAAUGUUAUUUUUAGUUGAUAAUUAAAAUUAAUUGAUGAUUAAUCUAUUCCAUUGUGCAUUAUUUUAUCGCCAAAUACUUUGAAUAUUCAUUAGCAAAAGAUAUAGGGUUCACCAUUUAAUGAAUAGAAUUUUGAUGGUGGAUUGCAUUUCCUGAGUUAUAAAUGUGGUGAAUCCAUUAUUCACUAGUUGAAUAAUCAUAAUGUUUUGGCCACUUAUCUUGAAUUUUGUUCAAAUUGAAGAAGUCACAUGUUUCUUUCUGUUGUUAAGGUAAUCUCUGUUGAAAGCUUCUAUUUCUUUUUUCUUUUUCUUUUUUUUUUUUCAUUUGGGUAGAUUUUUUUUUUUUAUGGAUUUAUGUAUUUUUUUCAGAGAAUUCGAAAUGAAAUAGGAAUAGCGGAGUGAGCAUAAACAAAUUGAUGAAAUUUUUAUUUGAGUUUUUGUGUUGGUCCUUUUUUGAUUUGUUGAGGUUUGGAAUUAUUUGAGUUUUUUUGCUGUUACUACUGUGACGGAUGCUAGGCAAUCACGAAAUGGGGGGCUACCUUUUUGGAAAGAGAAGUCUUGUUGUCCAACCUCUCAUGAAUUACAAACAAGGUGCUUUUUUGCUGGAAAAACCACCGAACCAGUAAAACUUUCCUCGGUUCUUCAAUUCGAUUCGAAUAAUUUUUUUACCCAGAAAAGCCAGCGUUUCUUGGUGAUUUUUACAGCUUUCUCAAUGUUUUUGUGAUUUUGGAUUUGCAAAUUUGUUUUCUGUUCAAAUUUCUUUUUGUGAUUUUAGGGGUUUUGUUUAUCGAUUCUCUCACUCAUCUCUCAGCUCUCUCUCUCACUUUUGAGGUACAUACCGUUGGAUUCUAUUUGCUGUUGCUGAUCUGCAGGUAAAGCUUCAAUUACCAUAUAAAGUUUACAUUUUUCAUUAUUUCUUGAGUUUUGAGUUUUAAUGAUAAAGACAAAAUAAAUGGUAAAGUGAAUAGUACCAAGUUUGACUUUUUAAUGUAAAAAUAUGGUUUUUCGUUAAAGUGAACAGUACUGUGGGCUUUUCGUUAGAACUCCCAAACAAAGGAAAUAUUGCUUUUCCUCCCAAACAAUGGAAAUAUUGCUAGAUUCUUAUCAUUAUGUGCAAAUUACUGGCGAUUUGGAUCGGUGCCUGAGAUUUAGAGAAUGAUUUAGAGAAUGGCUCGCAUUUUAAAUUUCUUUUCCUUCAUUAUUACUAUUUUCAAAAUUUUUAUUGUUGGGUAUUGAUAAUUUGUAGUCUGUGAGGGCUUCAAUCUGUUGGAAUUUUGAAUGGUUAUUGCUUCAUCAGAAUUUGGGUGGUCCAAAUUUUGAAUUAGAAGAAACCUAUUUGAUUAAUAUUUUUGGUGGAUUGGUUCUCUGUGUUUUCUUUGUUAUUUCUCCCCCAGUUGGAAAGUGGAAGCCCCAACUUUGAGCUCAGAGCUUGAAUUUCUCAAUCGUUCGUUUCUCUGCACUCUCAUCAGUCACUCUUGAUCCUCUCUCUGAAGAACUGGGUAAUUUUCCAGCUCUAUCAAGUAAUACUCCAUUUUAUUGCUUAAUUGAGGUUUUUUGUUUCUCUUUUUCACUCUUUCAUUAGUUCAUUGGCUUUGAUGUUGGGCUUAAGUAAUGGGAAAUCAUUAAUUGGCAUUGUUCAAGAUAUAAUUAUGUGUUUUUGGAUUUGUGAAACGAUUUGGCUAAUGAAGAUAGUGGUUAAGAUAUAUUUUUCGUUAUGAAAGAGAACAUUGUUCUUCGUUUGCCUACGGUUUUUACUACAAAGUUAAACUACUAUGAUUUUGUUCAAUUGACUGCAACUCAUGCCGCAGUUUGCUUCACAAACCUCUACUGUUAGCUUCCAUGUAGUAUGUUGCAAGUUUGAGGAUAUCUCUACAUCUUAAUUUCUACUCUCUUUGGUUGCUUUCAAGUUCGUAAUUUUACUUGCUACACUGCCACUUGAUUUGAUUAUAAAAAUGUAAAACAAAAUAUGUCCAUGAUUUACAAAUUUGUAUUCGAUUUUUGAUGUUUUUCCAGUGCAAGGCAUAUGUUGCACAAGUGAGGUAUGUAGGCUGCAGGGCAUAUAUUUUGUUGUCUUAACUGCAGGGGCAAAAUAUGUGUAAAAUGCAGCUUGCUUCUGUUUCUUCAGUUUCGUAUGGAAACAAACCUUAUGCUUAUGUUUGCCUUUGAACAGUUGUGAUUACAAAAUUAGCUACUUGAACAAGUCCUCAACACUUUAUAUUUUUAAUUACCUAUUCAAAUGGCUACCUACACUGCAGGACACAUAUUAUAUGUGUGAACUAAAUGUUUCUUCUGUUUCUUAAGGAAACAUAAUUUUUCGGAAACCAUCUCUUUCUAAUCAAAGACUUUCAGUUUCUUCCCACUCAUUGUACAAUGUGUUUAUAUGCCAACUCACUUGAAUGUAUAUAAAAGCAAAACUGCUUAUCUUAUCGAUCUCAUUCACUCAAGUAUCCAUUUGUUUGUUCAUAAUUAUGUUGAAUUUAUUCAACUUAAAUGUGUUUUAUUCAUCCGAUUACGCUUGAAAUAGCUGGUUCCCGCGGCAACAUGCAGGGCUAAUUUCUAGUUUUUAAUCUAUUUCUUAAUAACUUGACCUCAAUUCCUCGGGACUUAGAUAUCCCUCUUACCCAAACGUUUCAAUUUCUCAAUUGCUCAAGGGCAACCUUUGCAUAUACCAGAUGGAAGUUCUCAACGACUCAUUUUGUCGCAUUUUCAUAUUCCGACGAAGAAGUGUAUUGAUUAUGGCUGCUUCUCGGUUUAGGAUCCUUCAGUAAUAUAGUAAUUAGAAAUAAACUCAUGAUAUUGGUGGACCCGGAGGAAGGAUAAACUUGACGUUAUACUAUAAAUUUGAUACAAAAAUCCAAAUUUAAGGAUUAAAAUAUCUGGAGCGCCGAGUACUCCGGAGCACCCAUUGGCAUUCCAUGUGUAAGAGUUGACCUUGAUUUGCUUAAUCAAAGACAAGAGGGCUAAAAAAUAUUCUACCAUCAAAAGAAGACAAACAACUAACUAAGAAUGAAGAUCAAAAGUUGAAUAAGUUAACAGAAGUUGGAAGGACAGAAUGACUUUAAAAAGAAAGGCCAUGUUACAUAGAAAUCAGAAAGCAAAUCUGAAAGCUCAUCACCCAUGGCAGAAGCGGCAAAGAGGUAAGUACCUACUACUUCCCUCAUGUUUUUGAAGCUUCACACAUCAGACCAUUUGGCCACACCAACAGUAAUGAAAUUUCUUGUACAUAAGUGUUGUAUACAACCCUCUCACGUUUGUGAAAUGUGAUCGGAUCAUAUUAUAUAUAUUUUUACUUCGAAUUCACUCGUCUUUUCUUAGUUUGUUCCUUAUAUUUUUGAGCUAUUUACGUAUUUUUGUGUUUAUAGGAUUUGUUAUGCAAAGAAAAUAAAAAUAGAACAAGUGAAAUUUUUUGUAAUAAAUUCGUCAAAACUGUCUGUGUAAAUCAGCUUUUAAAUAAAAUUAAAAAAAAGAAAAAUAAUCAUGAUUUAUGUUUUGUUAAAAGAAUGAGGGAGAGUCGGUCAAAGAGGAAGUGGAGUGCACACUGAUAAAGGGAAGAAUAAUAAAGGAAAGUAGAAGGAGUGCGGGACUGAGUGGAAAUAAUAAAAGAGGCAGUGCGCAGGGGACAGAGAGGAGUGGGGAGGACUCGGAUUGGCAGAAACAAAAAAAAACAAACAGAAAAUAAUAGAAAAGAAGGCAAGAAGUCAGAGGGAGAAGCAGGAAUAAAAGAAGCAAACUGACAGAAGAGCAGGAGGAGGAGAUAGACACGGGGGGAGGCACGAGACAGGAUAGAAGCUGCAUUUGGCAGCUUGAGAGACAGGUGGCGGGAGAGAGAAGCAGAAGGCUGCACAGAAAAACAGGAGAGAAGCAGAGACGGGAGCAACACGAGAAGCAGGAAACGUGAGGUCAGAGAGUCCAAAAAGCUGCCCUUGGAGCGUGAGAAAAGAAGAAGCAGGAAACGUGGGAAAGGAGGACUGCAAGAGGAAAGAAGGCGAGAGGAGAGAGGCAGCCAGCCAGAGGUCAGAGAGGGCAGAGACCAGCAGAAACGGGAGCAACACAGAGCAAAGUUUCACUCCAUUUUUUCUUGGUUUUAUCUUCUCAAACCCAUGUUUUACUUUUGGUUUAAUUUGAUAAUAAUGUGUAACUAAAUUUAUUUUGGCUAGAGGUUAAUUCAAAGCCAUGAAUAUAUUUGUAAUAUGAAUUGAUUACCUUCAGUUGUGAUUUCUGAGUUGUGAUUUAAUUUACUUAACUGCUUGAUUGAUAACUUAUUUUUGUAUGUCGAUUAAGAAUGCAUACUUAAUUUACAUGCAUGAAUUUGAUGCUAGAAUAUAAGUGAAUUUCACCUAAUCGUUAUGAACUUAUAUUCACAAGUAGUGAAGGUUGUUAUCCACAAUCGUGUUAAGUGAGUUCUAGGCUGGAUUAACAUGCGUAUUCCAUAGUUAUGAAUGCCUAGUCAAUGUUUAUGAUUUCCGUUGAACUUAAUGAUCUUUGUUGAAUGUCUCUAUCAUGCGUAUUCCAUAGUUAGGGACUUUGAUGAGGAAUAAUUUGGUUGUAAUGCGUAUUCCAUUCAAUCCAAUGAAUCUAGGGAAAUCUAAAGAGUUAAUUUAAGCGGACCUAAUUAACUUGGAACAUUGUCAUUCACAAUUUAUUGAAAGAACAACUGAAAAUCAAUUUAGGUUGCAUAUGUGUCAUGUGUGGAGAAGAACCCUCUAGCUAGUCCGUCACCUAUCCUUUCACCUUAAUUCAUGCUUUUGUCAAUUCUAUAAUUUAUUUAAGUUUAAUUUACUUCUCGUCAAAACCAAACCCCCCAUUAUUAAAUUAUAUUAUUUAGUUAGUUUUCAUUGUUGUUAGUCUUUUAAUUCAAUUUCCGUCCAUUUCAGUUCCUAGUGUCUAAUUUGAUUGUUUUCAUUAUUUUGAGUCAUUCUAAGUGUGUUUCGAGUUAUUAGAGUUUUUAGCCUAGUUUUGUGUCCUUGAGUCUUAUUUAAUAUUUUUUAGAUUAGCAAUCCCUCCUAAUCCCCGGUCUAGAACGAUACCCUACUUACAUACUUUACUACAAUUGUCAAAAAGAGGGUUUAAUUUGUGUGUCAAGUAAUUUUCACAUCAAAAUGUUGGAUACAACGGUUUAUUUAUGAGAAUUUCUCCAGGGUGUUAAAGUUUAAGCAUGAGAGUGUAUGACUCGAAGGAAGAAAGAAAUAUCGCAGAAAUGGAGAUAGUGAUGGAUGCUUCUCUCUCUCUCUCUGCAAAAUCACAGAGGAAUGUUUUCUCUUAUUCUCACACUAGCACACAAUCGUGCACUGCAUAACGGUUAGUUAUGCUAAUGGAAUCUCACCAUUACAUCAAAAGAUCUUAGCUGCACAUCUAGCUGGAUUCAAGGUGAUUAAUCCACAUGUCACUUAGACAAAAUUACAAUAUGAGCCCUACACUUGGUAAUUUUAACCAGAGUGAAUACACAACUAAAUACAAGGCUUAUUUCUACUAACUUAAAAUCAGCUCAUGGCUUAUACACUAACACUCCCCUUUAAGCUUUGAGCUGAUAUGACUCCAAGCUUAUCUAUGAGAUAGUUGAACCUCUCCUUUGGUAGAGCUUUAGUAAAAGUGUCUACCACUUGUUCUUUGGUAGGUCAGUAGACCAAAUCAACAAUUCCUUGCUGCAAAGCAUCCUUGAUGAAGUGAUACCUUCUAUCAAUAUGCUUUGUCUUUUGAUGAAAUACUGGAUUCUUGGUUAUAGAGAUUGCAACUGUAUUGUCACACUGAAAAGGAGUUGCUUUAGUUUGCAACUCUCCAAAAUCCUCCAGAACAAACCUAAGCCAUAUAGCCUGAGCUGUGGCUUCUAAUGCACUGAUGUACUCUGCCUCUGCAGUUGAAAGUGCAACACAAUUUUGCUUAACAAAUGCCCAUGAGAAGACUCCACUCCCAAAGGAAAAUGCAUAGCCUAAUGUACUUUUGCUAUCAUCAAUUGAACCUCCCCAAUCACUCCCACAAUAUCCAAUUAGUAUUGCAUUCUUCCCCUUUUCAUAAUUCAGUCCAUAAUCUAGUGUUCCUUUGACAUACCUAAGCACUCUCUUGGCAGUCCCAUAUUACUUAUUUGUAGGGCAAUGCAUAUAUCUAGCAAGUAAGCUAGCUGCAUACAUCACAUAUGGCCUUGUAGCAUUAAGAUAUAACAGACUGCCCACAAUCUUCCUAUAUUGCUCUUCACUUGCUGGGCCACUUCAAUCUUCUUUGCUCAGUUUGUCAGUAGCAACAAGAGGAGUACAGACAGAUUUGCAUUCACUUAAGCCAAACUUAUUAAUAAUUGAUGGAUGCGUGUUGGAUACUGUGACACAUGUAUCUUAAUUGAUUUUUAGUGCAAUGAGUCUUUGAUUUUGUCAGGUAUGCGGUUGUCACAGGCUCGAAUCAGGGGAUUGGAUUCGGAACAGUUAAGAAGUUGGCAGCAAAUGGGAUCAUGGUGGUGUUAACUGCUUUAGAUGAGAAAAUGGGUCUUGAAGCUAUUGAAAAUUUGAAAGAGUGUGGCCUCUCUGACCUUGUGGUUUUUCAUCAGCUUGAUGUAACGGAUCCUGCUAGCGUUGCUUCCCUAGCAGAUUUUGUCAAAACCCAAUUCGGGAAACUAGAUAUCUUGGUAUGAUUCGAAACCAUUUUUAUAAACAAACUUCCUGUUCUGAAUGAAUACUUUCAUUUUUGCCAUUUUUUCGUCUGUGAAUUUUAAAAUUUUUUAAUGAACGGACCUCAUUCGCCAACUCUAUAUGAUACUAAUAUUUCAAGCAUAUUCUGUGUACCCUGUUGAAAAUUUUCACUUAUCCACUGUGUUGUAAAUUUUAACUGAGUCGCUUCGUAAUUCAGCUUAAAAUAAGAUAGAAAAUCCCUAAGUACGAUGAAGGGUCUUAAUAUUUUGUUGGGAUUGAACAAAGAUGAAAUGUUUAGGAACUUCCACAGGUAAACAAUGCAGGGGUUAGAGGAACCAUUGUAGACCCUGAAGCUUUCAGAGCUGCUGUAGCUUCUGGUGUUGGUAGGGUAAGUCUUUUUAUUCACUAUUUAAAAUCCAACUUAUCUUGAGUUUUCAAAAUUUGGCUUUCAGUUUUUGGUUUUACAUUUUAUUUUUUGAAAACUGAAAACUGAAAUGGUUAUAAGAUGGGUCCUUACAUUGUCAAAUUUAUAGGUUGAGUAGUGCUAUCCACACACCCAUUUUUACUUCUCACACACUCCUCUCAAAUUUUUGUCGUCGGAUCGAAUGAAUUGAAAAAAAUCAAUGACCAAAAAUUAACAAGGGUGUGUGAGAGUUAAAAAUGGGUGCUUGAAGAGAACUUUCCAUAUAGGUAUGGCUAAGUGCCAUAAAUCUUUCAUUCAAAAAUCCACUAUGGCAAAAUGAAAUCUUUCUUUUCCUUGACGCAGGAUGGUUUAGGAGUCAAUUGGAGUGAAAUAAUGACUCAAACGUAUGAGUUAGCUGAAGUAUGCGUGAGAACAAACUACUAUGGUUCCAAGAAAAUGACCAAAGCACUGCUUCCCCUCCUCCAGCUAUCCGAUUCACCAACAGUUGUCAGUCUUUCUUCUGGCAUGGGAUUGUUAAAGGUGCGAAGAUUUUUCAUACUUUUGGCAUCUCAUCGUAUUUCUGGUUCAAGAUCCAAUGUCUUCCAUAAUUAGGAAAACUGAAAUUCUGUUGGCAUGGAUGUUUUGUUUCAGCAUAUCCCAAAUGGAUGGGCUAAAAGGUUGUUAAGUGAUGCCGAAAAACUCACAGAAGACAGAAUAGACGAGGUUUUGAGCGAGUUUCUAAAAGACUUCAAAGAAGAUAUGCUAGAAACCAGAGGAUGGCCUGCUUCCCUCUCUGCCUAUAUACUCUCAAAAGCAGCCAUAAACGCUUUCACGCGGAUCAUGGCCAAGCAGUACCCGAAUAUCUGCAUCAACUCUGUAUGCCCUGGAUUUGUCAAAACAGAUUUGAACUUCAAUACCGGAAUAUUAACAAUAGACGAAGGUGCUGAAAGUGUUGUGAGGCUAGCAAUGGUAACAAAUGGCAGCCCUUCUGGCCAUUACUUCUAUAGACAAGAAGUCACACACUUUUGAGGAUAACAGAAUCUUUCAAUUUCAUGGAAUAAAUAUCCUUUUUUCUGUACGCAAUGAUGAGAUAAUAAUCUUUGAAUUUUCGUAGACGAACAAUGUAUCCUUAAAAAAUUACUAUGCUCUUGUUGCUGCAACCUGGUGAUCAGCCACACCUUGCAAAACGAGAACGCAUGGUUUCCACUUCCAGAGGUUUUCCUUGCAGAGCACUAUUUAACUCUAAACAAAUUGUUCCAACUACAAAAGUAAAAAAGGAAAAAACAAAUUAAAGUUCGUUAGUCCUUAAUAAGCAAGGCGUGAAAAAGAAUUAAGCAUGCAUAAGCCAGUACCUCACUCAUAGCUCGUCUACCAUUCGUUUAGUUUUCUCCUCUUAUCCCACAAUAGGCCUUUAUAUCGGACUCUCCCUCCUUGAUCACAUUUCCCAUUGCACAAUAUCGUUCUUACCCACGAUUGUUCACAUAGAUUGUUAGAGCAAUUUCUUCUCAUCAUCCACUAGUCCAUGCGGUACUUGUAUAACCCCUUUGUUGAAUGUAAAGAAACCAAGUGAAUACCUCUCCUUGUCUCUGUUAUGCUUCACUCAAUGAUGGCAAGCUUUUAUUCUGUCAUUGCUUAUACCUAAAUAAAAAGACUGGUUUUGGUAAUGUUUAAACUUUAUAUUGGCACAUCAAGUUAGACUUCAGCGAGCCAAGUUGGCUAGAAUAAUAGGCGUGCAUCCCUACCUCUCUACAAGUUAGAUCGAAUUAUCUUCUUUGUUAUUUAUAUUAAAUUACAAUGUCACUCAAAUAUAUUUGUACAUCAAAUUAUAUGAGAAUACAUGUGUAUAAUAAGUUCACUAUCUAUCUUUAUUAUUAUUUUUUAUGAUCGAUGAAAGCUUCAUUGGUCAUAAAUAAGAAUUUCAUCAACGGAAGCAACAUCUGUAGAAACACUAUCUACCUUUACUAAAUGUGUCAUCAUAUUUCUAGUUCUCUGUUGUGAGUUUGAGUGAGUCUAAAUCAGAAAAUCCUUAAAAUUAAACUCACACACCAAAAGAUAGGUUUAUUAUCAUCAUCAUCUCUCUCUCCUUUCUAUCCAGAUCUUCCGAACCAAAUAUAAUGAAUAAAGAAAAAAUUAACUUUAGGCGUGAUUUUCGGUUAUAAAAUUUCAAUUUGAACUAAGAAGAAAUAUUAUUUUUCUUGUUCCUUUUGUUUGGAUACAAGCAGAGCCGGCCCUGAGAGGGUGCAAGUGGUGCCACCGCACACGGCUCCCGAUUUUUCAAUUUUGUAUGCAUAUACGUAUAUAUAGUAGUAUGUGUAAAAUAUUGCAAACUUGAGUCUUAGCGCAAGUGAUAUUAUUACUUCUUUACAUCAUCCUAGGGGAUGGGUUCAAAACUCAUCUCCAUCUUUUUUUCAAUUUAUUUUUAUUAAAUGCAUAAGCUUCCACAAAAUAAUAUACAAAUUCGACACAAUAACAUGAAAAUUUGAACCCUGGCCCUCUAAAUAGUUAAGGAAAAACAAUACGCCACAUUUCCACCUGUUGAUUUGGUAAAUUUGUUUGUGCCAUUAAAAUUUAUAGAAGCUCAAUUGAAAACUAAAGUUAAUUUUUUGAACAAAAAAAUAAAAAAAUUAGAUUCUUAAUAUUUUUUUAGGACCUCCAAUUCACUUUCGCACAAGGCCCUGAAAUCUCAGGGCCGGCCCUGGAUACAAGGUUAAGCGACUAGAAAAAUAAAAAAAACAUGGAUGGAUGCUGACAAAGAACAGAUGGCUGUUUAAUAUGUGAAUGUGGUUGUAUGGACUCGUCGCUCAUCGGUCGUGAACUAGAAUUUUUAGCGCUAUGAGUUUGUGAUUGGAAAUUGCGUGUUCAGUUCAAAAAUACUGAACAGAUAUUAAUUCAGAUCAUGGGUUACGAAUUCGGAUUUUAGAUUACAACCCUAAACCUUAAUAUCGGCCAAAGUUUGUAUGUAACUACAUAUUUGUGGAAUUUAGAUGGGAAAUUAGUUUAUGCCCACUUAAUUGUCAAAAAAUAAAGUACUCGUAGUUUUAGGACUCGCCUGCAAUCUAUCGGCUGCCAAGAACACGAAUUUUGAAGGUGUUUGGGUUAAUAUUUGAACUUUGGGCCUAAAGAAAGAAAGGAAGAAAGGUAGGCCCAAAAGGACUAAAAUGGGGAGAUUCGCUCGAGGCCCAGCACCCAGCCCAGACCAACUCUCUCAAAGACAAAGUGGCGGCUUCCCAUUAAUGCAUAGGCUAUGUGCCUAUAAUCUAAAUAUGACAAGUGAUAAGAUCGGUCACCUAUCAGCCAAAAGCACUAUACAGUGGCAAUACAAGUAAAAAGCUGGUGAGUCACUACCCUCCGAUUACUUUCAGGCAAGAACAGAACUGCAAAUAGCCGGGUUAAUUCGUCUAUAAAAGGAGGAAGAAGACCCAAAGAGUGGGAUGAUCCUUAUUUGUGGAAAUAUUGCACUGAUCAAUUGAUUAGAAGGUGUGUCCCCGAAUCUGAGUUUAAAUCUAUUCUAACUUUUUGUCAUUCUUAUGCAUGUGGUGGCCAUUUUGGAGCAAAAAUGACAGCCCUGAAGGUGUUAGAGAGUGGUUUUUAUUGGCCUAAUUUGUUUAAGGAUGUGUACGAGUUUUGUGCAACAUGUGAUCGUUGUCAACGAACAGUGGAAAUCCAAAGUGCAAAGACCGGAUACAUGUUCAAAGUGAAUGGGCAUAGACUCAAGCCAUAUUACGAGUCUUUUGCGGAGCAUGAUGUGGAGGUUGUACCUCUUCAAGAACCAGUUCCCUUUGGAUGAUUACUCUUGGUACCGUCUGGCUGCGGACGUAAAAGCAAGCGAUUAUUGGGAGGCAACCCAAUAUUUCUAUUCAUUGCUUUUUUUUUCUGUCAUUUUCAAUUUUCUUGCGUGCAAAACUGAAUUAUUUCUUUUCUUUGUAUUUGGGUUAUGUCCACCCUUGGAGUUGAUUGCAGAAUUAAAGUUUGGGGGUCAUCAUUUGAUUUUACUGCAAAUUGGGGAAGUUUUUAGUCCAAAUGCCGGAUCACUUCAAGUAUCACCUUCCAUUCGAAGUUCACUUCGAUGCCAUGGAACCUAGGGGAGUGUGACUAGAGGCAUCGUCCGGCUGCAAGACGUUAAAGAAAGCGCUUCUUGGGAGGCAACCCAAGCUUUCUAUCUUUCAUCUUUAUUUUGAAUAAUUUUAAAUUUUAUUGUUCUGUUUUUCUCUUGUUUUCUGGUUUUUUGUGUUUAAGUCCUACUUUUGUUCCUUUAUGCAGGUAAUGAUUUUGCAAUCUCUACCACAACUUCUUGCAAGGUAGUUUUACAUUCAUAAAAAUGAAAGGAACAUUAAGCAUAUAAAUACAAGAGGGAGCCUUCACAAAGGCUGCUUAAGUGAAGUUUCAGCAGUCGGCGGAGUCCCAGAAGGAGGAGGCAUCAGAGGUUGAUCAGUUGGAGCUUCACUACGCGGUACAGCCCCAGAAGACGAAGGCAAAUGCUGUUGGAACAAACCCACAAACUGUUGAUGAUCAAGUAAAAUCUGACCAUCAGAUUCCUGCAUCUGGUCAAUCUUCCUCUUCAUGUUUGUGGCAUAGUUGUGUGCGAGCUUGUGCAACUGUUUAUUCUCAUGCUUGAGCCCUCUAAUCUCCUGCUUAAGACUCAUCACUUCUGCCGCCAACGAUUCAACUUGACGGGAUCGGGCAAAUAGGCGUUGGGCCAUGUUGGACACGGAACAUGCACACUGCACACUGAGAGCCAGAGAUUCCUUAACAGCCAACUCAUCAGACCGUUUGGCGAGUAGUCUGUUAUCUUUGGGAGUGACAAGGUUCCUGGCCACCACCGCAGCUGUCAUAUCAUUCUUCAUCACCGAAUCCCCAACGGUAAGGGGACCAGUAGGGGAUAUGAAGGAUGGGCGCCAUAUGUUGUCGAGCUGCCUCUUCACCAAGGUUCAAGUCAAAACGACGAUCAGAAGGGCCAGACAUUUUUCAGAUGUGGUAAAGAAAGAAGAGGUCGAACAAGUCAAGAUAGUAGAAAUGCAAAGAGGGAGUUUUUGAAGGCAGAAAUUCAAGUGUGCUUUGAACGUCCUGCAUACCUCUAUAAAAAUCAGCACGCGAUGGGAUUUCGGAGAUCGAAGAGGCAAUUCCAGAUAUCGAAGAGGCCAACUAAAAAAAUCAAAGAGGCGCUAGCUUUCUCAAAAGCUGAGCUUGCUCAGAAACCACGGCAAAUCUUCUUUUCCAGAUUUGUCCGCACUCGUCACAUGCACCCUCUGCACUCGACGGAGCUCAGAUUUCGAAGAGGCAAGCUCAGAAAUCGGAAAGGAAUCUGCUUUAUCCAGACGUGUCAACAUCUGUCACAUGCAAAGUCUGCUUUACAGAAAUCACGGGCAAUCUGUCGACGAUUUCUGGUAAAGUAUAAAGCACGUGAAGUUUACUGUUCAAAUCAUCCAACGGUUGCCGACAAGAGUGAAAGAACAGUACCGGUUAUUAUUUCCUAUAAAUGUCGACCUUCACCCUCCAUGGCAAGGCAGACAUACAUAACUUUCCAUCAUCUCCGAGAAUGCCUUUCCACCACACCCUUUCGAGUCACUCAGUGUUCCUUAUUCCUUGGGGUACCUCUGCAAACAACCCAUCCAAAGCAAAAGUAUUUCAUAUCAUGAAGGUUGAAAGCAAGAGUAUCUCAUAUCAUGCUUUCUCCCUGUCCUUCUCCUUGUCUUUGUUUUGUGACAAGGAGAAAGAGAGCAAUCAGCCAGCACUUGGUAUUAAUCUUCCGAUCUGGAGCCAACUGCCUGGAACCCCUUCCUGAUUGCUUACCUAGCCUUGCUCUCGAGUACUCAUCUUCAUUAUCUUGUGCUUUCUCUUCGUCUACCACAUCUGCCUGGGGGACAGAUAAGGGAAGUGAAAAUGAUACCUCGAAGCAUGUGGAGACAAUUCAGCUAGGGACAAGGAGAAAGAAAGCAAGAGAUGGGCACUUGGAAAGAUUGAAGAAAGAAACAGACCAAUACCUCUACCUCGUGCCUGCCCGCCGUGCAGAAGAAACAAGCAGAGAAGAAUGCAGACUGCACAAUUCAGAGUUCCUUGGUUUCAAAUCAGACUCCGAGAUUCGCCUACACAAAUUGGUGUGUUCUUUCCUUUUCUUUAUAUGUCUUUAUUUCAUUUUAUAUUUCUUUCCUUCCAUUUUUAUGUCUUAUUGUUCAAAAUUUCCUUUCAUUAUCAUUGGGGACAAUGCUAUAAUUAAGUUUGGGGGUGGAAAUAUAUUUCGUUAGUUUAUUUCUCUAUUAAAAAAUAAACUAAAAAAAAAAUUUAUUGUUGUUUGUAGCUACUUCUCAAUUCUAUGAUGAGAUUUGUUUUUAAUUUCCUUCUUACUUUCAAGAAAGUCUAAGUUCUUUUCGUUGUCUUUGUGUUAACUGUGAUUUCCAGAAAUCAACUUAAAAAAUAAAUGUGCCUAGUCUUGUCAAUGUGAAACUUGAGCAUGAUUUAGCGUUUCAUAUGUGAAUCAUGUGAGAUUAUGUAAACCUUGUGAGUUUUUAAGCCUAUACAUGAUUGAACCAUUAUGCAUCAAUCUCAUUCCUUCUUGUGCGUAUGAUCUCACUGUACAUGUAUCUCUAGAACUUGCUUUAUACUACUCGAUUCAUUAAUCAAUUCAUGUAAUAACUUGGAAGUGAUAUAGGCCAUCUUUGGAUCGUUUGAGCCUUUCAUGCCUACCUUAUAUGCUAUGUUUAUCUGUAGUAGCCCAUUGAGCCUUUAACUAAGCCAUUUCUUUGUUAGCCACAUCUCUUUACCUUGCUCCAAUAUUGGAGUUGAACCCAUACACAAAAAUCGAUUCCUUAUUGUUUUGAGAAAGUAUUACAUGGGUUGUGCUUUUGGGGGUUUCAUUUAUGUAGAAAGAUGGAUGGAGCAUGUGUAUUACAAUGAAAUGUGAAUUUGAUGGGUGAUGUAGCUUUUGCAGAAAAUUCUUUCAAUUAAAAAAAAAAAACAAAAUAUAAGAAAAUUGGAGAGUGUUGAUUUGUUGAAAUUGUGUCUGCAUAGUAUAAAUUUCCUUUUGAAGUUGAAUUUGGGGAGUAACAGGUGCUCGAAGUUUAUUAUUUUGCUUUCAAUUUGAGGUGGUGUGAUAUUGAGGUGUUGGAAAACUACUAAAGUGUACUUUCUCAAAAUUUUUGAUUUCCAUAUCCUUUCUUUCAUUAGCCUAUCACCUUUAGCCCCAUUACAACCGUAAUAAAGCCCUAUUGAUCCAAGGUAUUACUAAAAUAUUGAUAAGCGAGUUAGGUGGACAAGCAAGCAUAUGACGGCAUGUACAAUGAGAUCACUUGAGUGAAACACAUUAACCAAAACUUAUGAGUGAAUGAGCGUAUGUCUUGUGAGAAACUCACAUGUUUGCAUAUGAUGAUUUAAAGGAGCUUGGAAUUGCAUUGACAUGGCUAGCUCACACAUGGCAUUUCAACGUUUUGUUUGAAGGAAAUUUGGUUAACUAUUGGAUGAUGUUUUGAGCUCUUGAUUAGUUCUUGGUUGUUUGUAUCAUGAUUAACACUUAUCUCUGAAAUCGAAAUUGAGAAGUUGUCUACUAAGUUGUUGAAUCUAGUCUUAGUUGAGUGAUUUUGUUUUGUGUUUUGUUUUGCUAGAGGACUAGCAAAAAUGCAAGUUUGGGGGUAUUUGAUCACUCAUAUAUUUCAUGCAUUUAUACCAUCCAUUUCUAAAUUCUUUGUGAUGUUUUUGUGUUAAAAUUGUGGCAUUUUACCUUACCUUGUGUUAAUGUGCAGUUAAAUUUGUUUUAGGAUAAAUUUCAAGCAAAAGUGGGGGAGACACUGAGCAACAGAAAUUAAUGGGACGGUAAAGAGAAAGACACGGACAGCAGGAAUAAGAAAAGGAAUAAAAUGAGCACUAAAGAAUGGGAGACACGACAUAAAGAAAACAGAGAGGAAGUGGAACAAAAGAAAAGAAUAAGGGAAUAAAAUAAGAGGAUGGCAUGAUUUGUUCAAGGCACACGGGUUGAGUGGAAAACAAAAGAAAGAAUAAAAGAAAAAAACAGUGGAGGGAGGACUGAAAAGAAGAAUAAUAAAAGAAUAAACAAAGGAAAGCAGAAGAGUGGGGAGUAGAAUAAACAAAGAAAGAAACGGAAAUAAGAAGGGGCGAUAGGAGAAACUGAGAGGAGAAGAGGCAUGACAGAGGGCAGGACAGGAGCAGAAAACAGAGAAUAAUAAGAGAGAGGAGACUGACGGGAAAAGCAAGAAAACUAGAGGGAGAAGCAGAGAGCACGACGGCAGAGACACACAGAAAACUGUGUGGGGAAAAAGAAAUAAAAAGAAACAGAGGGCAGACAAGCAGAAACACAGCAGAGAGCAGAAGCUUCACUCUAUAUUUCUUGGUUUUAUCUUCUCAAACCCAUGUUUUACAUUUGGUUUAAUUUGAGAAUAAUGUGUAACUAAAUUUUAAGUAGUUAGGGGCUGUUUUGAAGCCCCGAAUAUGAUUGUAAGUUUGUUGUGAUAUUUUGUUUGAAUGACUUUUAUGAAAGGAUGAAAAUUGUUUCACUACUUAUGUCAUUGAUAAAUUCUUUAUGUGUUUCUAUGGAUGCAUACAUAGUGAGCAUAUCUAGGAUUUUAAUGCUAUGAAUAUAUGUUUACCUGCCCUUGUUGAAUGAGGACCUACAUAUGUUCUAGAGUAGCACUUGUUAAUUGUGGUUAACAUGUGAACCGAUUUCUAGGAUAAGUAAGACAACGCUAGUACUUACGAUGCCUUGUGAUGACUCAAACUCUUUUUAUUCUUAAUGAUUUCUAUUUGUUAAAUCUAUGAACACGCCAUUCUAGAUUGCAUGUUAGGAACUAAGUUAAGUUGAAAACGUCAUUCUCUUAACAUACUACAUAAGAAAGAGUAAUAGGUUGUGUUCUAACAUUGAGCCAACUUGAGCAUCUUCAUCCGGAAAUAAAAGGAAUUUGAAUGAAACAUUACAUGUUUGCAUGAUUAUUUGGUGGUGGAUAACAAUGUCCCCUAACUCGUUUUCUUAACUUGUGAAUUAAAAUCUAUUGGUAUUAUUUAAAACUUGUUGAGGUCCUGUUUUGUCCGAUUUAAUUUAAAUAGCUAAUCAACUCCAAAAAUCCCAAAAAUUUGUGUGAACAUAUCUUGGUGUGUCUAGUUUAUGUGUAUAAAAUUUCGUUGCAUUUGGAUAAGUGUAAGUUAGUCUAAUAAUUAUUGUUCGGUGGCUGGUCAGUGGAGACAGCCACCCUGUUUUUGUGACAUUUUAAGUAUUUGGAUAAAACAAUCUUCUGCGGGAAAGACCCUUAUUUUCAUAUGCUACAAUCGACAAAUUUUAGUGUUAAUAAGGAAAAUUAAUAGGAUAUUUGUGUGCUACUUUGUGGUGUGCUUUUAAUCCUACCAGUUUGCAGGCUUAACAACGAUUGAAGGGGGCACUAUUUGGGUUAAUAUUUGAACUUUGGGCCCAAAGAAAUAAAGGUAGGCCCAAAAGGACUAAAAUGGGGAGAUUCACCUGAAGCCCAGCACCCAGCCCAGACCAACUCUCUCAAACAUAAAAUGGCAGCUUCCCAAUAAUGCAUAGGGUGUGUGCCUAUAAUCUAAAUAUGACAAGUGAUAAGACCAAUCACCUAUCAGCCAAAAACACUUUACAGUGGCAAUACAAGUAAAAAGCUGGUGAGUCACUACCCUCCGAUUACUUUCGGGAAAGAACAGAACUCCAAACAAUCAGGCUGAUUCAUCUAUAAAAUGAGGAAGAGGGCCCAGAGAAGAGGACACUCAAUCAAACAAACAAACCAACAUACAACUUGUUUCUCAGUCAAGCAAAUACCCAGAAAGCUGCGCUUUGUCUAGUUUCUGCAUCCCUUUUUAGCCUUAGAUUUCCCUUAGAAAAACAGCUUUUGUCUAUGUAAAAGCUCUGCUACCCUUCUCUAAAUGUUGUAGUAUCGAUUCUCUCAUGUAAACUUGUUUACAUCCAUUCCCCUUUAGCUCAUAAACCUUUGUAACUGGAAAAAGAAGAAGCUGCACAAGAUUCAACCUUGCCAAACAAGGUUAAAUCUUGCCUGACUCUCUUUGUAUUGUCUUUCAAUUAAUAGAUCUGGUGUUAUAAUGUAUCCCUCAGUAUAUAUUCAAGCUAUUUCCAGUCUUUUAAUGAUUCAGAGUUCCAUCAGCUCUCAAAUCUGGUUCAUUUAGUGGUUUUAUUGUCAUAAGAGGAUCAAAAAUGCACUAAAACUGAUGAUUUAAUUAGAUCUGGACAUCCACCCUUUAAGCAUACAAGAUAUAUAUAAUUUCUUGAUCUCAAGGCAUUGAAAAGAACUUAAUGUAGACUUAACCCAUCUACGAAAAUCCUUUGAUAAACAAGAAGUCAGAAUAACUUAGGGCGCAAGUAAUCGGCUUAAAUACACUUGUUCUACAUCUGCCAUACAGAGAUGGCAAUGGUAUGCCUCCGCAGUCAGUUAGUUUUGAUUGUGAGCCUUAAGGCCACCUAAGGCCCCCAUAAAGGCACCUUUCAGAACUGACUGUUUCCUGCUCUUGCAACCUCUUAAUAGGUAGGAGCUCGACAACCAACCAAAGUGCCAACUCCUCGGGGAGCUGUGUGCUCAAGCCAGGAACACCCACCAUUCAAGAUUUCCUGCCCGAACAUAAUGUGCGGCCUCGAUACUAACCCAAUGAUGUGAAGUUUUUAUCUGUAUGGCUCAGAAGCCAAAGAGGGGCAUCAAUCUCAUCUGGUAGAUCAUAUCAUAUUUGAUGAAUCUGAGAACGUGACUGUUGAAGCUAGCAAGAGACUCAUAAUGCUUUCCUACCCAAAGCUUUCGAAUACCAUUUGUUCCAUUGUUAUGUGGAAAUCUGCUAAUAAUUGGUUAAAUAAAUCUAUGAUUUAACUGCACCAUUACAGGAAAAAAUAAUGUAUAUAGAACAAGUAAAUAAUAAUUCAACGUUUAAGUGUUAUCUUGCCAUACUUGUGUAGUCAGACAAAUAGUAUGUAGAUCGGCUCUUAAUAAAUUUGAAUCAAACAGUUAAUUAGGAGCCGUUUGGUAACCAUUUUGUUUUCACAUUUUUUGAAAACUAAAAUCUUGUUUGUUAACUACUUUCAGUUUUAGUUUUCAAACUAUUUUCUUGAGUUUUCAAAACUAAAAGUAGUUACCAAGCAAAAUUUCAGUUUUCAGAUUUCAGUUUUAAAAAAAAAAGAAAAGAUUUUAUCAAUAACAGCCAGAAUUUAACACAUAACUUCAUAAAUGUCAUUUUUUAUAAUAUCUUUUAAAAAUAACAGAAAAUCCACUUAAAUAGACUUAAAUACCCUUCUUUGGUAUUAAAACAACCAAAAGCUUAAAUGCCCUGCUUUGAAAAGCAAGAGAUAGCUUGGUAUGGGAAGUUUUAGUGCAGAUGUUAUGGCUUUAAUUCACAUCACUUUCAUUUGGAUUCAUGAUUUCCAGGAAGCCAAUGAAGAACCAGUAGAGUGAGCAAAACUAAACAAUCACGGUGGUUGCCUUCUAAUGAAGGGUUUGUGAAACUAAAUGUGGAUGGAGCCAUAAGGAUAACGGAUGGGAAAGGAGGUGCAAUAAUGAUCAUCAUUGGUUCCAAUAAUGACGAUCAUACAACACACCUGAAGCACUUUUCCACUUCAGCCAUCCAGCUUAUAUACCAUGAUAUAAAUCUCCUUUGGAUUCUCCAUUCUUUUGCAAGAUAGAUCAAAGAUAGCGAAAGCGUUCAUCUUCGGUACUUCAUGAUCCAAUCAUCAUUCCUACCUCGUUUGGACGCCUAUUCCACUGAACUUAAAACUCCAUAUACUAUGCAUUUGACCUACUUAGACAAAGACCUUUAGACUCCUAGCCAAAAGUUAAGCUCCAAUGUACUUCCUCAUGCAUUUCAUCUAUCAGCAUUAUAUCAUUUGUGAAAAGCAUACACCAAGGGAUAUCAUUUUGAAUUUGUCUCGUUAACUCGUCCAUUACCAAUAUAAAAAGGUAAGGACUUAAAGCUGAGCCUUGGUGUAACCUUAUGGUUAUAGGAAAAUUUUCAGUUUGUCCUUUAUGAGUUCUUACUGCAAUUCUUGCUCCAUCAUAUAUAUCCUUUAUUGCUUGGAUAUAUGCUACUCGUACUCAUUUCUUGCCAAACUUCUUCACUAAGUUCUUGGCAUACUUUGUUUGAAAGAUGAAGAUGCCAUCCUUUUCUUGUUUUACUUGAAGUACAAGGAAGUAGUUUAAUUCACCAACCAAGCUCAUCUCAAAUUCAUUCGUCAUCAUAUUGAUAAAUUGUUUCACAAGAGAAUCAAAAGUAGACCCAACAACUAUGUCAUCCACAUACACUUGAGCAAUCACAACAUGAGAUUGAACCUUUUUAACAAACAAGGUUUUAUCAACAAAGGCACGAGUACAACCAUAAGCAAGAAGAUAAGAAGACAACCUGUCAUACCAAGCACUUGGGGCUUGUUUAAGAUCGUAGAGAGCUUUCGUCAGUUUGAACACCCCAUCUGGCUUGUGAGGAUCCUUAAAACCCUUAGGUUGUUCCAUGUAGACUUCUUCAUUAAGAUAUCCAUUACGGAAUGCGGUUUUGACAUCAAUUUGAAAAAGCUUGAACUUUAAAUGUCAUGCAAUUGCACAAAGAAGUCUAAUUAAUUCAAGAGAGUAACAGGAGCGAAGGUUUCAUCAAAAUCAACACCUUCAAGUUGAGAGUAUCCUUGAGCAACAAGCCUGGCCUUAUUUCUGAUCACAUUUCCUGACUCACCAGACAUGUUCUUGUAAAUCCAUUUUGUGCCAAUAACAUUAGUGUUCGAUGGACGAUCAACAAAGGACCAGACUUCAUUCCUCUCAAACUGAUUUAGCUCUUCCUACAUGACUAAGACCCAUUCUUCAUCAGUUAGAGCAUCUUUGAUAUUCUUGGGCUCAAUUUGGGAAACAUAGCAAACAUUUGCAACUUCAUUAGUUAUUUGUCUUCGAGUUCUAACAUUUUUGUCAAUCGAACCCACAAUUUCCUCAUCACGAUGAUCUCUAGCCCACUUCAGUUUAUCCUUGAAUAGGACAUGAGAAUCUUUGAUUGGUGCUUGAUUCACUUUCGUUGUCAUUUUCUGACACCAUACUUGACUCACCAGAAGCAUCACCAUUUCGUUGUCAUUUUUUCUUUCCACUACACCAUUUUGUUGAGGGAUGAUUGGAGCAGAAAACUCAUGCUUGAUGCCGUUGGUUGAACAGAAAUCAUCAAAGCGAGCAUUCUCAAAUCCGGUUCCAUGAUCAGUUCUAAUUCUGACUAGAGCAAGAUGGCUAGACAGAGAUUCAUUCAACAUUACUUUGUACAUAGUGAGGAACUAUUGAAAGGUAUCAGAUUUUUCCCUUAAAAAGCAUACCCAAGUAAAUCUAGAGUAGUCAUCCAUAAUUACCAAGAUGUAAUUCUUACCACCAAGAGAUAAAGUCUAAAUUGGUCCAACAAGAUCCAUAUGAACUAAUUGAAGAGGCUUAGUUGUUCCAAUGUCAGUCACUUUCUUGUGUGCCACCCUAGAUUGUUUUCCCAAUUGACAUUGUAAACACGAAAAUUUUGUAACGAAUGAAACGAGAACACGUGUACAAAGUAGAUUUGUAUUGAUGAAUUUAUAGGGUUACAAUCUCUGUAUAUAAUUUUCCCUCUGAUUCAGUCUUUAAAUUUGAUGUAGAUGGUUGAUUGUUAAUCCAAGAGUCGCGAUGACUUGAUCUCAGACGAAUGAUUGAAUGAUUUGCAUCAAGUUUUGAGCUUGAAACAAUGUGUGGAUAGUUUUCACCUCAAGGUUUGUGUAUGACCUACGAUAAAGGUGAUGUUGAUGCGGGAUUUUGUUGAUUCAAGGGUCUUGACAACUUGAUCUUGAAUUGAACAUCGUUACAAGUUUUGAGCUUGCAACAAAGUUUUGAAGGAAUCGGCAGUGCUUGUUCAUUCUUCAAGGGAAUGCUUCGUCUUUGGUUAAAAGAAAGCUUCAGCUUUGGUUGUGCGUUCUUUGAAGAGGGCUUUGGUAGCAUAUUAGUCUUCAAAGAUUUGGUGCAGAGAUUCCUCUGGGUGUAGAAUUGCCGACCCCUAUUUGUGUUUGCGACCUUGUAUUUAUAGACUUCCAAAGCCAUGUCUUUGGAUGGAUUUGACUUUGAUUUGUGUCUUGAUUCAUCCAUGGGAGAAUUUAGGCAUUUUUGUGUCUUAAGUUCAGCCACUUUCCCUUGCUUGCCCGAAUUAUAGGGCUUUCUUGCCUAUUUUGUGAGCAAUCUUCAAUUCUUGCUUGUUUUAUGAAGAUACUUUAACUUUCUUUUCAGUUUUGGGAGCAAUUUGGGCCCCUUGCCGAUUUUAAGGAGAUUUAUUCCCAUUUGCUGCAUUUUAGAAUGCUUUUGAGCUUCCUUUGCUUGAUUUGUGCUACAUGUCAUUUAUGACUUGUCCAUUUAUGAUGGGUCCUAUGCCACGUGGAGAUGUGUGAUGCAUCAUUUGUAUGCAAUGAAAUUUACAUAUCUACAAACAUGAUCCACAAACAUAGGAGUCAGAAACAAAAAUAGAUGGAAGGCCCUUCACAACCUCAUGUUUGGACAACUUCUUAAGGUACUUGAAGUUUACAUGCCCAAGUCUCUUAUGCCACAAUAUACUAGUUUCAUCAAUAGUUUUGUGGCACUUGGAGUAUUCAGCAACUUUAGAGACAUCAAGAAUGUAGCAAUUGUCUCCAGAUCUCGGGAGUACAUGCAAGUUCUUUCCAUGUUCAUCCACAGUCCAACACCCUUUUUUUGAGAAACACACUUCAUCAACCACAUCAUCACACAAUUGGCUAAUGCUAAUGAGAUUUGACUUCAACCCAUCAACAUAGCUAACAUUUUCAAGCUUAGGUAAUCCAGGGAUUUUGAUAUCACAUUUCCUUGUGAUCUGAGACUUGUCUCCACCACCAAACACAACACCACCGCAAAUAAAAGGAGUAAGAGAUGAGAAAGCCUCAUUGUCUCCAGUCAUGUGACGAGUGCACCCACUAUCAAGAUUCCAUACAUUUGGCUUGGUAAUAGAUAGAGCAUUUAGAACAACAAGACACAUGUUCAAGGCCUUCUGAACCCACUUUGGACUUUGCUUAAUAUUUCAAGAUGAACAAGACUGAACAAGCUAAGCAAUUCUAUUGACCUCGAUGACCAAGCGAUCUACCUGACCCUUCAGCAAAUUAGUCUUUCCAGAGUACAAUUUUCUACAUUUUGGACGAAUGUGCCCAACUUCACCGCAGUGAUGACACGUAGGAACAGAUCUUGUCUUUGGACAUGGUUUGACUUUCUAAGAUAUAGCCCUAGAUUCUCUCACAAAUUUUGUUUUGGUGAGGAUAGAAAUUGAGCCACUUUCUACAUAACCAAGACCACUUUUGUCAUCGUAUAGUUUUCUGAUACUCAGCAUCUUGUCAAUUUUUCAACCCUAAUAGUGAGACGAAUAACCUUAUCAUUUGCCUCAUUCAGUUCAAGUAGUUGUUUCCUGUUGGCUUCAUGAUACAUCACAUUAUUUGCCUUCAAUGCAUGAAUUUGAUUCAUCAAGUUCUCUUGAGAUUCUAGUAAGUUUUGAACCUGAGCUUCAAGAGUAGUAAUAACAUCAUCCUUUUCAACUUUUUCAUUGCAAUUAAAAGCCUUCUCAUUCAACUCCUCAACAUAGGCCUCAAGAUAACCAAUUUUUUCAUCCAAUUCAAUUCUAACUAGACAAAGAGACAUGUUUUCUUUCUGUAAUACAACAACCUUCUUAGCUAGCUCAAUCCUCUCCACUUUUGUAGUACAAGUCUCAUCAAAGAGAGAAUCAUACUUUAUGCACAAUUCAUCAUACGACAUCUCCUCAUUGCCAUUCAGAACAGAAUCAUCAUCACUCAGAGACACUUCCUCAAUUGGAGCAACAAAAGCAACAAUCUUUUCUUCAUUGUCUGAUAACUCAUCAGAAUGCACAGAACCUUGAUCAUUUUAUCACUCCAAGUAACCAUCAUCGCCUUUUUAUUCUUUUGACCAAGGAGUUUGAUGUUAGCAUAAUCAACAGCACGGUGCCCACUUCCCCCACAUGUAAAGUAGGGACCAGGUACCUUUAACACACCUUUGUCUCAUUUUCUAGUGAACCUUUUGUGCUUCACUCCAGUAGAUUGUUUUUCCCGAUUGUUUGAUGACUUACCAAACUAUUUAGAAUCAUUUCCUUUGUUUUUUAGAAUUCUUCUGAGUUGUCUGACAAAUCGGGCAAGAUCAUCUUCUGAGACAUGUCUACACUCAUCACCAACAACCUCACAUUUCUCAACACUUUGAAAGGCCACUUCUUUUAUCUUCUUGGAGUCACUUUCAUCCAUUUCAAGCUCCAAGUCAUAGGUAAUGAGCUUCCCAACUAAUUUUCCAAGCUUGAUCUCAUUUAGGUCCUGAAACUCUUGAAUGACAGCCUUCUUUGCUUGAAAUCUCUUGGGCAAGCAUCUCAAAAUCUUUUGAACAACGGUUGUUUAAUCAAUAAGCUUCAUUAACCCCAAGACAUUUAUUUGUUAACAUUUCAAUUUUCUCAAAGAAGACCAAGAAAGUCUCAGACUCGAGCAUUCUCCAAUCUUCAAAUUUCGAAAGGGUCAUUUGAAGCUUUAAGUUUCUCACUUGUUUAUCACCCUAAUGAAGAAUUUAGAGUUUGUCCCAACCUUGCUUGGCAGUUGUGAAAUAUCAAACAUGAGCAAACUGAUUAGACAAAAUGGCAGAAACAAUUGCAUUCUUUGCUUUCCUAUUAGCCAUGGCCGAAGCAAUUUCUUCUUGAGUCCAUUCACCUUUUGGCUUCAUCACAAACUUUCUAUUGACUAGCCUCGAUGGAGCCUUCCACUUAAGAGAAAGAUAAUCAAUAGCUAUAAGAUCUUAAGCCUCAAUGAAUAUCUGAAACUUCUUGUUCCAAGCAGCAUAAUUUGUACCAUCAAAGAACGGAUGUGUAUUGCAUGAGCCACUGACACGACACGAUCCAUGGUGGGAUUCUACCUAAUACCAGAAAAUCUCAUAUAUCACUCUAUGUAUAUCUAGAGCAAGGCUCUAAUACCAAUUGAAAUUGGGACCAAGCAGAAUAUCCUGUAUAUAAAAAUUAUAAUAUGCUAGACUGACUAGUCAAGCCCGCUAGUCAACUCAAAUAGAUUUGUUAAUCAACAAAUCAAAGAUUCAAUUACCAAUUUCAGUUACCAAAAACUAUCAUAGUCAGCAAGGCAUCAGUUUGUUGCAAGUUAUUAAUGUGUCAAGAGGGCAAGAUUGUGAACACAUACCAUUUAACUGUUCAACAAAUAUAUGUAUCAAGUAUGUGUAUGUGAGAUACGUGACACAAUAAAAAUAACUUGAACACAAGAUAUUUUUAGCUGGAAAAACCCACCUCUGGGUUAAAAAACUGGGGACUCUCCACUGAGUCCAAUCCACUAGUAUAAAUAAAGGUUCAUAAAAAGACCACACAAGCUCAAUUUCUAGAUCCCUAUUUAUGGAGCAGCUUUACCUUUAUGCAACAUUGUCUUACACGAGAUGGACUCCUUUGGUCUUCACGAAGUGGCAGCUCCUCUUGAGCUCAUCACCUUGUGGCACUAAGAUCAAGACAAUCAAUGAUAUGAUAUGAUUUUAUAAUAUGCACAUGAAAUCUGGAUUUAAAUGACCAUUCAGGUUCUCCAGUCAAACAGUUGAAGGAAGAAUCUAACUUGAAUCAAAAAGCUUGGUCUAAAAACGAAUUUAAAGCUUAAAACCAAACCAAGACAUAAAUGCAAAACCUUAAAACAAUGCAACCCUAAUAUACAAUGAUUGGGUGUUUAAUGCAUGAGGAAGGUUUGGUAGUUAGGGUUUCAUAAUUGAAGAAGAUGCAAGCUUAAAGCCUUGAAGACAACUAUCUCUCUCUAAAAACUAAGUUCAAAAACCCCUAAGAACAAUCUAAAACCCUAGAAGUAAAUAUACCCAAGAAAAUCAUAUUUUCCAUCAGCUAACUUAUCCCAAGGACAUUUGUCGGCUACAAAAGAGAUCUAGGCAAAUCAAUGGCAAGAAACUGACCACCAUUAGAAAGGUGUCAUUUAGCCCAUGUGGACUAUCUUAAUUAGUGUGCCUAAACAGCUGGAAGUCAGCGCGCAAAACUGACUAGACAAUCAAACUAGACAGAAUGCAACACAAAAAGUGAUAGGAAAUGCACAUGCAUGAACAAACCUUUUGAUGUGAAAUAAGCCACUUCAUGAACAUUUCCUCCAGUAGCAAUAGCCCAUAAUUGGAGUUUAUUCUAAAGCUAGAUUAAGCAUGUGGUACACAAAUACAAUAUUUAACAAGGAAAGCUAAACACUUUAAAUUAGACUUUACACAAACAGUAAGGUUGUGGAUUAUAACAUUCAAACCUAGGCUCUACGCCAUUAUGCGGAAUAGUCAAAAGGGCGAUCCGGAAAUCAUUCGAAUGUGGCUCUAAACUCCGGCCCCGAGUACGACUACUUCUAUCCUGAACUAGCAUAUUAAGCCAAGUAUUCGUAUGUUAGCAGGUUCAAAAAGGGCAUCCAGACUAGGUAAUCCCAAAGAGGAAUUUUAUUCCAAAAUAGCUCUAAUACGCGGAAAAACUUUGGCCAAGUCAACCAAGGUGGUCUGAUAGGAAACACUCAGGUCUGACACAUAAGGUUUGACAAAAGGAUUCAAAAAGUGUUUCCGACCCACAUGCCGACGACCAAGUUUCCAAAGAACUUUUGUUUAAAAUUCACUAGAAACGGACAUGUGAUCUAGUUUAGAAAGAAAAAUCCAUUUUUUGACUAUGUUGCAAGUAGGCCUGGCAAACAGGCCAUGUUUAUCGUGUUCGUGUCGUUUUCGUGUAACACCUGUUAUCUUAACAAGUUAUGUCGUGUCACACCUAUUAUCUUAACAGGUUUUUAACAGGUCAGGUCAUUUCGGAUCAUUUUACCCUACAAGUAAAAUGACCCAACCCGUUAUGACCCGUUUAGAAAAAUAUUUUUUUUUAUAAAUUUGAACAUACCACAUUGUCACAUAAAAAUUACUUCAAAACAUAAAAACACAUUUGUUGUUAACUACUGCAUACUCCAAAAUAAGAGCCUAAUAAAAAAAAAACAUCAAUACACUACUACAAAAUAUCAAAUGUCCAAGGAUAUGAAAAAUGAAGGAGUUUUUCUUUUCAAGGUUGUGAAGCCUUUCUUAGAAGUUAAGACCUUGCCAAAGAAACUCAGAGCUUACAUGUUGUUCUUUUUACAAAAUCCUUCAAUUUUCAUCGAUCAUCAUGGGAAAAAUAGUAUUGGAACUUUGGCCUGAUUUAUUGUCUUCAAUAGUUAUAUGAUGAGAGAGAGUUUGAUUUAGGGCUGAGAAAAACAUUAGGUGGCCGAGAUUAAAUUUCAGCUGGUCCAACAGUCAUCAAUUUUCUACAUUUAAUUUAUAUAUAUAUAUAUAUAUAUAUAUAUAUAUUUAACUUUCAGUUCGGUUGGGGAUUAAAUUAUACUAUUUUAGUGGUAUAAAAUUAUUAAAUUAAUAUUUUUCUUAUUGUGUAAUGGGUACGUACGUGUAUACCUAUAUCAGCCCAUUAUUUUAACUGGUGCUUAUUGGGUUACCUGAUAACGACCCGAUUCAUUAUUAUAUCGACCCGAAAACCUGUUAAUUUCAUGACGUUUCGUGUCGGGUUAACAGGUCAUGUCAAAAAUUGCUAGCCAAAGACUAGGGCAGGUAAAAAUAGUUGAUUAUCAUUUAAUUUUCUUUUCACAGGUAGCUUCAAACUUAAACUUCUUCAAUCCGAUAAAUGUAUUGAUAAGCAUGGAGCAAAGGGUCCUUCAAUUGUUUAAUGUUCAAUUCCUGGUACCGAAGCAAGGUGGUCCUCCAACUAUUAUGACGAGGAUCCUUUACUGAUGCUAAGUUUGGGAGGUAAUGUUUUUCUGAAUCAACAUUAUCAAGGAGGCUUUUUUAGCCAUGUCCUAGGCCCAUAAACUUAUUCGCAUUCUGCUAUGUUGCUUAUUUAUUACUUAAAGUUCGUUUACUUUACAAAAAUUUAUCGGAUUAAGAAUCUCUUCACAUUUACAAAGACAAAAAAAAUAGUCACACAAGCACAUACUCAUUAUCCAAUUCCCAAUAUGAGGGACCAAAUGGGUAUAGUGUUUGGGGGAGACAAGCUCUCCCCCUAGCAAAAGGAAAAUCUUGAAGACAAGGCGACAUGUUGGACCAAAAUCAUUAGUGUUGAAAAGAUACCACUAUCAGAUCAGUGGCAUACUAUGCCCAUCUUGCUGCAUUCUGAGCACGACACUACAUUGAGGGUGAGCAUUUUGAUGGAAAUUUUCCACCGUCGUCGUCCAUAAGCAAAGGAAGAGGAAGAAAGCGGUGAUGGAAAACCCUAAUGUAACCUCAACACCUCGAGGAGAUUGGACUCAAAUGCAAAUCCUGCAUCGUGAGUGCCAGAAAAGGAUGAAUGUUAUGAAAUAAAUCGCAAGAAGUGAAGGACAUUAAGAUAGAACUAUGGCUAAAUAAGGAAAUAUUUAGCUUUGUUUGACAGAAAUCGACAAACACAAGGAAGAAUUUUGGUUGGAGGAUUCUCGACAUCAAAGGAUCAAAGAAGAAACUGACAACGGAAGCUUUGGUUAGAACAUAAGAGUUCAAUAAUGCAGAAACGAAAGUGGUUGUGAAAAUCUCAAAAGAGAAGCAGUUAUUUAAAAGCAAAUCAUUAGAAGAUUUCACCAUUGAAAACAAAGAGUCGUGUACCUUGGGAUCAAUAUGUGCAAAGAUCAAAGCCAAUUAAUGAAACGUGUGGAGAAUCAUGCACACAAAAUAGAGGCGUUCAUCAUCAUUGCAGUUGAGUUUUCACGAUUCUAGAGGUCGUGUGAUGGAAACCGAAGCAACCAACUACCCCGCUUUGUCAGAGUGCUAAACUAGCUCACAAAGAAUCUAAAGACUAAACGGUACGUUUUCUAGCUUACUCCAAAAGGCAUCAUCUUUGGUUAACAAUUCAUCCUCAAAAGGAACAAUUUGGCUCUUAGAUAAAUGGUUAAGGGCAAUUAUGGGACCAUGAUUUUCUUGAGUCGAAGUAAGGCUGAUCCAAAUACAGUUACCUUAGAAGUUCGGUCAUGGACUCACCAGCUCCGAGGCGGAGCUGUAUUAGACAUAACAGUGGUGUUACCGUCAGCGACUCCACUGGAUGACCAUGCUUGUCCCGCAGAACACGUGAUCUAAUCCAAAUAUGGACAUAAUUAGAUCCUUUAAGUCUUGGAGUUCCUAUAAUCUAGGAAUUGGCGUGUGCUGUAAGUAAUCAUAACUACUAAGAGGAUGAAAUAUCUACUUUUAGAUAUCCUCUAAGAGAUUCUCCCGGCUUAGAACGAGGAUUCUAUCCUAAAAAUGUCUAUCUCCCCACGGUAUAAUACACCCAUCUAGGUUCAUCUAUUGUAAUGCCAAUCUAAAUACUUCAAUACAUUAGCCCACUGCUUGAGUCUAAAAUCACUGACUAACUUGACCAUCGAAGAGCCUUUGGACAGCACACCCCCUCCUCCUGCACCGGUCUCAAGCUUGCUCACAGUUGUUUACUGUUUUGCAGGUUACUCGAGUUUGUGCUCAACCACCACUCACAAUGGUGCACGAAUUUGGUUCCAACAGAAUGGUUUCGUCAUACAAAUGCCUUUUCCUUUUGAUCAGGCCAAGAUCUCUCCAUUUCUUGCAAUUCAUCAUUUUCAUCAAAUUCACUCUCUUUCUCUCUCUCCAAAAUUCAUCCAUUGUAAACUGAUCAGCUCCCUCUUUAGCAUUCACCUACAACAUCUCUUCCCAAAUCUCUCUAUCUCUCAUAGUCCCUCAAAGAUAUUACAUUUAAUCUUAAUAACUUUGAAGUUGUGAAAUUUGUAAUUAAAUCAUGUGUUCUUAGUUUAUAUUGUGAAUUUGUUAUAUAUAUAUUGUGAAUGUGUUCUUGAUUAGUAUGUUUUAAUAUUUGUAAGAAUUUUGUUUAAAAACAAUUGGGGAGAUUGUUGAGGGAUAGGUUUGGAAUGUUGAGAGAUAGGUUGUAUGGCCGAGUUGGGGAGGGGGACAGGUUUGGGGAAUAAAAAAGGUUUGGGGACAGGAACCGUAAAGAGGGGUACAUGUUUGGGGAAGGGGACGAGUAGGGAUGGGGAUGGUUGGGGAGGGAGAUGAGUGGGGAUGGGAACGGUUGGGGAGUGAGACAAGGUGGGAUAAGACAUCGGGUGAUAUGAUAAAGAUAAUUUUUUUGUUAUAUUACAAUUUUUUAGAAAUAUCACCAUUUUUGUGUAUAUUAUAAAUUCUUAUAAAAUAUUAGACAUAUUUAGAAAAGUUGGGAAUUUCUAGAAUUUUUUUACAUAGAUACCUAGGCGCCACAUUGUCGUCACCAUUUUUCUUGUCUAACGAGUCAUGGUUGAAUAUGACACAGGACAUGGGCGUCCAGCAUCCCCACGGGUUCAUUCAAUGUUGAAUUAAUCGAUACGUGUAAUCAUCUGCCUUAACUGCCCUUUGACUACCCAUAAAUGGAGGAACAUCUCCUCCGAAGUGAAGCAAGCCCUAAUGGCAGAGCUCUCAGGUGUUUUUUUUAUUUAUAAUAUUUUAAUAAUUUAAUUAUGAUAAUUACUAAAUUAUUGUACUUUUAUAACUAACACUUGUUUUUUGUCUAUUUCAGAUCAAUUUUGAUAUUAAUGUAGAACACUCACGUACGUUAGACUGCGUUAAUCGGCUGUGAACUAAGAGAUUCAAAGAGUGGAUGUUCGAGCUGCGCACCCAGUACAGGACUUUGCAAGUCAUGAAGAAGCUCUGACCCAUCCAUCCCAUGAAUUUGCAAAUACAAUGGACUAGUGGGAGUGGCUCUGUGGUUAUUUUCAGAAUUUAUAAAUUCUGGAAAUAACAUCUUCCAUGGGACGAGUGAAGUUGUUUAUUAUCCGGAAUAAUUUUUGCUUUCCAAUAAUGUUGUAAGAACUUUGAUAUUAAUUAAAUAAAUUUGUUUAAUAUUAUGAUAUUAAUAUAAUAAUAGUUAAUUAUUUUUUUAAUUUAAUGUACAUGUUGCACGACGACCCUAUCCUUCGGCCAACGAUAUCAACUAAUUUUUCCUCUUCAGUUAAAGCAUGUCGGCGGGCAAAGUUGACAAAAAAUUAUUUUUAUACAAAUUUAGUUUUUGCACAACGACAAGUUUUCGUCGCCAUGUUCAUCAGGCAAGACCUCGUUGCCCGACGAAAGUGUUUUACGACUGCUUUUGCUCGACGACUUUUACCUGACGGAAUUUCAUCGCCUUAUCUUUUUUCGCGACGAACAUUGUCCUUAAGAGACGUAACAGAAUUCAUCUCCCAAGUCGGUUUUUUCGUAGUGUAUAUCUACUGAUUUUUUAUAAUGCAACUCCCUUUUAAUUGAUAGUUAUUCAAUCCUAGUAACCCAAAAGCUACACACAUAUCUUUUUGCUUACAGUUGAUUUUAACAAAAUCCCAGCAGUCUGCAUAAAUUUUCUAGAAUAUUCGAUAAUUAUCUCUGGGAAGAAUGCUAUAUUUUUCACUUUACUUACCGAAACGUAAUGAAAGUUCAUAGUAAUCUUCACUCAACUAAUGAAAGAGUAAGCAGCCUAAUUAAGAUAUAGGGCAUAAGAUAUAAAAAUAAAUGAGUUGGGGUUGAAUUGUUAAUAACAAAAUAUUCAAAGUUUGUUAAAAUAAAGAAAGUUGUUGGAGAUGGAAAGUUAAACUAAAUAGCUAAAUUAAUUUUUUGGCACUUUUGACUUGCUAGUUAAUAAAAAUUUAGAGCUUUUUAUAUAGAUGUUUAUAGUGUUAGAGGCUUAGAGCAUCUUCAAGAGACUUUUUAAUAUAACUAGUGGCGGAUCCAAAAUUCUACCAUCGGGUGGUUCUAAUCAAGGCACGCUAGGAUAGGCGCUACUCUGGUGGCGAGUUGGGGCCUAGGCGAACUAGGCAGAUUUAAAUAAAUUUAAUAUAUAACAUAUAAUAAGCGCCUAUUUACACUUUAAAAAACUACACUUAUGUUUAGGAUUUGAGUUUAUUAUUUUAAAUAGGUUUAUUAUUUGACAUAUAGCUAUUUGGGCCCAAAAAUAUCAGUUUGGGCCGAGUAUAGAAUUAUUCUCAGCCCAGCGUUUAGUUCUGGACCGGUUAGGUCGUGGGCUUCCUAACCUGGGUCAGUUAAGCCAUGCUGUAAGACGAGUCGAAUCCUGGUGCAAUUAGGAGUCUCGGCAAGAUUAAUAACCCCGAAGUGAAUCCGGCUUAAUAAAGGACUAGGUUCACAAUUAUGGUGAAAAUAGGACUAAUCGAGUUGGUAUUUGAUCAGGAGAAAAAGUCCUAUUCCGGGUAGGGUUUUAACUCGACCUUGAAGGUAUCCGGUGCUAUAAAUAGAGGAGGUUGUACAUCAUUCAGGCCCCUCCAAUUCAACACACAACUGCCCUGCGCAAACUCUCUCAACAACUUUGAGAUUUUUAUUUUCCCUUUUCACUUACACAUCUUCCGUUGGCAUCAACAACACUGUGAAAGCAACCGGUGAUAUCUUAAGUCGGCAUAGAUAGCUCUGUUGCCGUAGAAUCAGUCGGUCUCACAACAUCUUCCGUUGGCAUCAACAGCACUGCGGCGAGGACGGUUGGUUAUCUAUCCAAGUCUCGGUCGAGAAGGAUUUCUGAAUCCUUAUUGAUUGAGGUCAUCUCAUUAGCCUUCUCGGCGAAGUGAGGUGUUACAGUUUACUGAGCUCGGCGCAUUGCACGCCGAGUAAUUUUAUGAUUGGAUACUCUCAAGUGGGAUUUAGAGUUCGGCAUUCAGACGGCCGAACCACGUUCACUAUUAAGACUUAUAUUCACUUUGAGUAUUUAUGCCCUUACACUUUGGUGUCGAUUCGGCGUGAGUUUACUCUUACGAACAACAUCACUGUGACCAAAUCCGACGACAGCGAUUCGUGAACUUCGUAAGAAUAGUAGGCUUGUCUUCAGGUUCGAGAACCCAAGAGGCCGAGACGUGUUCCUUCCUCAGUUGCAAUCGUAAGACGCAGAAGUCAGCCGCGCACCCAACGUAACAUCAAUAAAUUUACUCCUCGGUCGAUGAGUUGGCAAGCCCCGCAUUCAUCGAAUGACGUAGUUAGCUUAUAGAUUACUCGGCCUGCGCGCCACGUAGGUUUGGUAGUUUUUAGGGUCAACAUUUUGGCACGCCCAGUGGGACCCAGUGCUAAACUACGAAGUUCAUGCUAAUUGAAACGCGAUCGGUAAAAAAGAAAACUAUGGGAAAAUCAACAGCCAAUUUGCCAAUUCAGAACAUAGGACAAAGUGUGCCACAUGCGUAGAUUCCCAUCAGCGUCGUAACACCUGAGUCCACGAGCGCGACUCGUCGAGAAAGGGAAGUUAAUCUCGGCGGUCAGUUUCACAGUCUUGAAAUCCCUGACAAGAACACAUGCGUUCUUAAUGAAGGGAUAAUAGAGGAUUGUGACGAGGAUGGUGGCGAAGGAUCUGAUCCACCAACAAGGUCGUUUCUUCGAAAAUGACUUGACGAGCAAUCUCGGACGAUUGAACAGACGUUUAGUCGAGGAAUCGAUAAACUUCAUGACGUGAUACGCAAUACCAGUGAGGCACAAACCAGAUUACUCGAAAUACUGGUUACUAAGGUCAGCGACGGUAGGUCUUUCAAUCUUGCCCAGCACUUGCCACCAAGAAAUAAUCUAUUACCAAGUGCACCGGCCGAGUCAAUCCCUGCUAGGCUCAAACCAAUUAACUUGGAAAAAUGAGGAGGAUCGAAUAGUAGGUCAGACGGAUCCAACCAGAGAGUGGAAGCAACACCUGUCGAUAUGAUCGAGGUCCAACGGAUGAUCGAUUCGGCCAUGAAGAAAGGGCCGAAGUUCCCUAAAUUUAUACAUUCAUAUCCAGCUUAUGUGGAACAGUUCGAAUACCCUAGAGGUUUCAAAAUCCUGGAUUUCAGCCUUUUCACCGGAGAAUCAUCCUUAUCCUCAUUAGAACAUAUGGCUCGUUUCACCGCGCAAUGCGGAGAUGUCAAUAGCGACUUUCACAAGUUGCGACUUUUCAACUUUUUGCUGAUAGGUUCAGCGUUUGCUUGGUAUAUCAACCUCCCACCGAAUUCUGUCCAGAGCUGGGAGGAGUUGGUCGAGAAAUUUCAUGAGCAGUUUUAUCGGCCAGGGAUGAAAAUGUCAAUGUCCUCGUUAGCAAGGAUGGCUCAAGCAUCCGACGAGUCACCAAUGGAUUAUCUUACCAGAUUUAAAUCAGCCAGGAAUUGGUGUCGAGUACCUCUCCCCGAAGUCAAAUUCGUCAGACUUGCUCUGAACGGUCUUAACGUAGAAUACAAAAAGAAAUUCUUGGGGGCAAACUUUCGGGAUAUGUAUGAACUAGCCCAGCAUGUCGAGCAAUAUGAUUAUUUGCUCCGCGAAGAAAAGAUUUCGAAAGCUCUAUCUCGAGGGACAAUCUACAAAAAUCCCACUGUCAACUACGCAUCGACCGAAGGUGAAUGCGUUAGCAUGGACGCAGUUGAAAUAGUAAUAGAUAAGCCAUACGUUUGCAAGGCGCUGACUCAAAUUGACUCUAAGGAAGUCAAAACCCGCUCGGCCACUGAAGAAACAAUGAAAUCGUCAAAAGUUUAUACUUUUGAUAUUACAAAGGCCGAUGCAAUUUUUGAUCAAUUGUUAUCAGUGAGGAUCAUCAGACUUUGGCCUGGGCAUAACAUUCCCAAGGCCGAAGAGCUUAAAGGAAAGAUAUAUUGCAAAUACCAUAAUUCAAGCAAACAUAUGACAAAUAAUUGCAUCGUGUUUCGAGACAACAUCGAAAGUUGGAUUGAUAAUGGCAAACUCAGAUUUCCGGAGAAGAAUAUGAGUGUUGAUACUGACCUAUUUCCCACGGCAACAGUAAAUAUGGUAAAUGCACGCCUACCUAAGGACAAAGGAAAAGGGAAGGCCGAAGCUGUUACAACGCAACGCGUUCUGAAUCAGAAUUCUCGGCCAUGUUUCACUGCUGAUUUUCAUUCAAACAAACCACCUACAGCUCUAACAGGACCCGCUAUUGUCAAGCCCAUGACAGAAUACAGCACUGACGAAGAAGGUGGGUCGGCGCUUUUAUGCAGAAAGUGUAAAGCAAAUGUCAACACCGAGCCAAAGGAAAAGUUAUCUCCGGCUAUAAUGGAACAACCUACAGCCGCCACACAGUAAAAAGAGCUCAACGCAGGCCAACAUCAAGGGGUUUUUUAUAGGCUCGGCCUUAAAGUACGGGUGGAAGAAACACCUUCGGUCAGACGGCACCUGAUUUUGAUGCCCCGUUUUAUGACGAAGAUUAUUACAUCUGCAAUUCUAGCAGCUCAGAAUCAUCGCAGAGCCAAAAAACUUUCAAACCUCCCGAACCUCGAGAUCAGCGUUGGUAUACAUAUCACUCCUCGAAAGGUGUAUACAUUGCACUGUCCAAAUCCCAAAAACAUUGGCACCAAAGAAUAGACUGCAUGGAGCGCCGACAGGCAGCCCAAGAAAUUUCGAUCCCUAAAUGGCGGCCGAAGGAAACAGUUGCCAAUGAUGAUGAACGACCAUCUCCAACUAUUAUGACAGAGCUGGUUCAAGGGAAACGGCUAGUCAAUCGAGAUGUUGAAACCACAUUUGAGGAGGCUGAUAAACGGAUCAAACUUCUUCUCCGGCCUGGAGAAAUGAAGGCACGCUUUGAGCAUUUCAGGCAAAAAGCUGAAAGCAAACUGUCCCUGCCAACCAUACAAGAACCUUUGAUCAAAAUUCAAUCGAUAUAUGCAAGAAUUUCAUAAAAAAACAUUCGGCCAAUGAUCUAUAUGGUUUGCCGAAAGCAUGUCAAGAUACAAUCGAUAUCGUUCUAACUUGCCCGAAUGCCGAGCAAAUUAUUUAGAAAACCUCAGACCCGGGAUUGAAAGCUAGGUUCCAACAUAUACGAAAAGCUCGAGUCCUUGGCUUUGAAGUCGAUCCAUAUACUAAUAUCGAUGUAGCCGACCUUCCUUUCUCCAUGGAGGACCUUCAAUAUUUACGAUACCACUUCGAAGUUUUUUCGGCCGUUUCUCUCUUCGGCCUCACGACCGAUGAAAUAACACGAGUUGCACGGUUGGAUGCCUAUCUUGACACCAGGGAUGCCCAUAUAAUGUACUAAGAGCAAGCUCGUAUCCUGGCAUCAAUCCCAGACACAAUUUCGAUUUCAGACGCACCUGAGGCACCUACACAGAAUAAACAGGUUUUUUAAGAGACACCGCGUGAACAAACCAUUGAAGAAUGAGCGGAUGAGUCUCUUGGUACAACUCUGACGGAAGCAGAUGCCGCUGUCGGCGACCACGAAAGAGAAGAGGCUGAAGAGGAUGAUCGUAACCCGAUGGGCCCGUCGAUCCUGGAUAACAUGGAAAUCAGUAUGGUCCAUGUUUUGCCCGCUGAUUUUCAGUCGAGCACAUCUCACCCGAAUUUCCUUAAUGGCGACGUAAUUGCCGAGGAAGAUGGUCACAUUAAUUUUGUAAAUGUUGCUGAUGACGAGUCAAUAACAAAAGAUGACAACCUCAAGGCAGCUUUAGCCGAAUUGUUUCCUCGCUCAUGAUCGGCCAAACUUCAUCAUUUGAAACCAUUGUACGUAACGGCCCAUAUCGAAGGGUAUCCAGUCUCCAAAGUUUUUGUCGACUAUGGAGCCACUAUCAAUAUCAUGUCUGUAAACGUCAUGAAGGCGUUACGCCACUCCAAUGAUGAACUUAUUCCCUCUGGGAUCACGAUGAACAGUUUUGUCAGAGACAAAUCCCAAACCAAAGGGGUGCUUCCUUUAACGGUAAACAUUGUCGGCCGUAAUCACAUGACCGCCUUUUUUAUUGUCGACUCCAAGACCGAGUAUAAUGCACAGCUUGGUCGAGACUGGAUUCAUCAAACCAGCUGUAUUCAUUCAUCAUUGUAUCAAAUGCUCGUUUUCUAGGACGGUAAAUCGGUCAUUGUUCACCCGGUCGAUAAUCAACCCUUCGAAGCUAACAUGAUCCAAGCACGAUAUUAUGAUAACCACGUCAUCUACAUCACCCUACAAGGUUUCAAUGAUGAAGGAUGGCCGACUCAGAUUUCUGUUCAAAAAGCUAUUGAGGUUGGCACCGAAACUGUCCACCAGGAUUCGGCGAGACUCGGUUUAGCUAACUUCAUCCCCGACCCUGAUGUUUGACACCGAUCGGGAAAAACAUCGGGCCGCGGUUUCAUCUACUAUGGAACGACUGCUGGCUCAUUGGUAUGCUAUAUCUAAGCAACCAAAUUCAGGCGUUAACCUCGUCGAGUUCCUCUCCGAAGGAGAUAAUGGUCCUGUCUUAUCUCUUGACAAAAUUCAAGCUGCCCCGACCGAGCUCGAAAACGAUCGGCCUCAAGUCAAAGACCCCUUGGAAGAAAUUAAUGUUGAGGCGGCCGAUGACCCACGACCUUUAUUUAUUAGUGCUUUACUUCCCCAACCUAUGAAAACCGAACUUCGUGCCCUACUUGAGGAAUUCAAAGAUUGUUUUGCUUGGAGCUACCAUGAAAUGCCUGGCUUAGAUCGCACUCUCAUCGAGCAUGAAUUACGUAUUAAACCUGGAUGUAAACCCUUCCGUCAACCACCUCGACGAUUCUCGACUGAAGUGUAACACGGUAUCAAGGAUGAACUGGUUCGGCUUUUGAAAGCAGGGUUCAUUUGGACAGCUCGAUACGUUGAAUGGUUGGCCAAUAUCGUUCCUGUUUUAAAGAAAAGUGGUGCAUUGCGCAUUUGCAUCGACUUCAAAAUUUUGAAUCUGGCAACUCCCAAAGAUGAGUAUACAAUGCCGAUUUCGGAUUUGUUGAUCGAUGUCGCAGCGAAUCAUGCAAUCUUAUCUUUUAUGGAUGGACAUGCCAGGUACAACCAAAUUUUCAUUGCCAAAGUCGAUGUACACAAGACUGCUUUUCACUGCUCGGGGGCACUUGGCACUUACGAAUGGGUUGUCAUGCCAUUCAACCUCAAGAACGCCGGCGCCACAUACCAACGAGCAAUGAACACCAUAUUUCAUGAUUUAAUUGGAACCAUUGUCGAAGUCUACAUCGACGAUGUUGUAAUUAAAUCUAAACGCUGGCAGACACAUCUGGAUGAUCUCAGACAGGCUUUCCUCCGUAUGCGUCAACACAACCUCAAAAUGAAUCCUGCCAAAUGUGCCUUUGGUCUGUCGGCCGAUAAUUUUCUCGGCUUCCUCGUGCAUCACCGUGGGAUUGAAGUGGAUGAAAAUAAAGCACGCGCAAUCAUCAAUGCUCCACCCCCGAUGAUGAAGAAACAACUACAGUCCUUACUCGGGAAGAUAAAUUUUCUCCGCCGAUUUAUAGCUAACUCGACGGGUAAAAUGAAAGCGUUCUCCACGCUUUUAAAACUUAAGGACUCAGAUAAAUUUGAGUGGACAGACAAGCAUCAGGCGGCGUUUACGCAAAUCAAAGUCUCCCUCACGACACCACCUGUCCUUGUUCCACCCCGGCGCGGGAAACCUCUCAAGCUAUAUAUCUCGACGGUCGAAGAGUCCAUCGGCUGCCUCCUCGCGCAAGACAACGAUGCCGGAAGAAAGCAGGCUAUUUUCUACCUCAGUCGAAAUCUCAAUCAACCGGAGGUUAAUUAUUCCGCCAUCAAGAAACUUUGUCUCGCCAUAUUUUUCACCGCCUCCAAGCUUCGGCAUUACAUACUCCCAUCGGUCACCCAAGUCAUUGCCCAGACCGACGUCAUCCGCUACAUGCUCACCUGACCAAUCGUCAAAGGCCGAAUUGGGAAGUGGACAAUGGCGUUGUCCGAGUUUAGCUUGCAAUACGUGCCCUAGAAAGCUGUCAAAGGCCAGGCACUGGCGGAUUUCCUCGCUCAACACCCUUCCCCCUAUGGUUUUAGGGGCACCGACGUCGAAAUCGGCAUGGUUGAAACGGUGAUAAUUACUGGAUGAUGUACUUUGACGGCUCAAGUACUUCAUCAUCGGCUGGCGUCGGAAUUGUCAUUCAAUCCCCAAACCACGAUCGUUGGUAUUUUUCGCUCAAGCUGGAUUUUGAAUGCAAAAAUAAUCAGGCUGAAUAUGAAGCCCUUAUUAUCAGCCUUGGCAUCCUUCAUGACUUGCGGCCAACCCGUGCCCUCAUCCUCGGCAACUCCGAACUCGUGAUUAACCAACUUAAUGGGUCUUUUCGAUGCAUGAGUUGUACCCUGGCACCCUACCACAUGGCCGCCAACUAUUUGGCCAAAUCCUUCGACGGUAUUACAUUUGAACAUAUUGCUCGGAUUCAUAAUACCGAUGCAGACGAAUUGGCUCAAAUCGCAUUCGAUGCAUAACUCCUAGGGGGCAAGCUAGGCCAAGAAAUACCCGUGUUACGACAGCUAUACCCGACCUUGGUUAACCAAUAAGUUCUCCGACAUGACAACGUAAUACGCACCAGAGUCAUGUCCUUACCAUCGUUGUUAGACUGACAAAACCUUAUAGAAGUUUACGUUAUCGAGGUAAUACCAGAUGAUUGGCGAAAACCCAUUAUGCAGUAUCUUGACAAUCCCAAUGGCAAACACAGUCGCAAGACGAGAGUUCACGCCACAAACUAUGUCACGUACCAAAACGAGUUAUACCGAAAGGGUGAGGAUGGUCUAUUACUGCUAUGCCUCGGCCCCCAAGAUAAUGCUCAAGCAAUCACAGAAGUCCAUGAAAGGGUUUGCGGAGCUCAUCAGUCCGGACGUAAAAUGCGGUGGUUGCUUCGACGACACGGUUAUUUUUGGCCAAGAAUAUUAAAAGAUUGUAUCAAGUUCACACGAAGGUGCACACAGUGUCAGAUUCAUGGUCUUAUACAACGGGUCUCGGUCGAGUCAUUACAUUCGGUCACUAAACCAUAGCCGUUUAGAGGAUGGGCAAUGGACGUAAUCGAAAAAAUCAUACCAUCUUCCGGGGUUGCCAAGCACGCAUGGAUAUUGGUAGCAACCGAUUACUUCACGAAAUGGGUCGAAGCAAAAUCGUAUGCCGAGCUAACGUCUAAAGAAGUUUGCGACUUUGUGGAAGAACACAUUGUGACUAGAUUUGGCGUACCAGAAACGAUUUUAACUGAUAAUGGCACAAUCUUUACAGCCGAGAGGUUUAAAGAAUAUACGGCAAGUCUGAAAAUUCGGCUUGAACAAUCUACACCAUAUUAUCCACAAGCAAAUGGGCAGGCCGAGACAAGUAACAAAGUGUUGAUCGGCAUUCUCGAGAAAAUAAUAAAAGAGAGGCCUGGCAUGUGGCAUUUAAAGUUAAAUGAGGCUUUAUGGGCAUAUCGAACAUUGCUCCGAUUGACGACUGGGACAACCCCGUAUGCACUAACCUACGGACACGACGCAAUGUUACCAGUCGAGCUAAGCAUAAAUUUGUUAUGAACAAUUGAACAAAGUAGUCUGUUCAGCACCGAAUAUAAUCAGUCAAUGAGACAGAAGUUAGAAGACUUAGAAUAAGCGCGACUCGACGCUUAUAACUUGCUGGUGGCACAAAAAUAGAUUGCCGAGCGAGCAUACAAUCAAAAGGUCCGACAGAAAACAUUUGGCGAAGGAGAAUUAGUUUGGCAAACAGUGUUGCCCAUAGGAAUUAAAGACCCUAGGUUCGGCAAAUGGUCGCCGACUUGGGAAGGGCCUUUCGUCAUACAUAAGGUUCUCGACAAAUGCGCAUAUCAUCUUAGAGACCGGACUAGUUUAGUUCACAAAUUGCCAAUCAAUGGGAAGUUUUUAAAGAAGUACUAUCCAAUCACAUGGGAAAUGCGGGAAUAGAAAUUCAUUUCAUUAAGAUCGGUAGAAGAAUACAUAAAUUGAGUUGGUCGAUCAGUUUACAUUUAAAUAAAUUCAGGGCGAAGAAGGAAAAAAAGUGCCGAGAAGAGCCUUAAGCUCCAGCCACCGCACCUCACCCAUUAUGACCUCGACAUGCCGGUUCUUCUUGUCCAUCUUCAACUGCUCGAUUCGUUUUGUGCUCCCUGCAUACUCAGUCAGACAAUCUCUGCCGCCCGAAUCGAAAUCUUUCGCAAUCUCAAAAGCAAUAAUCGACCUUCGUUUUACUAGUUCGGCUAUUUGACAGUCGAGGUCGGCCAAAGCUUCCCCUUUUGCCUUUAAAGCAUCAAUCUUUGGACAAAGAGCGUCUUGGACGGCCAUGGCAGCUUUCAAAUCUUGUUCAGCCUGAAGAGCGUUCUCAAGGACACUAAAAGUCUCCCAAACUUGCUCUAAGGCAAACGAUGGCUUCGGCGCUCAUUUGACCAUCUGCGCUGAGGUCGUUUAGGCAGGCACCCAAUAAAUCGAGGCCUUUGCAUUCAAGGACUUGCGACGCAGAAAGAGACAAAACUUCUUGCACCCAAACCAGAGCAGUUGAAUCAAGGGGGUAAGUUGUAAGGGCCGAAGGGCCAGCCGCUCCAACAGUACUUGACAGGAGGGCUUUGAACUCGACUUCCCAUGAAGCCUGCACACAAAAAUCAGUUUAAGCUCCAGGAAAUCACGAAAAAGGUAGCAAGAAGGUUUUGUUUUUAAACCUGGCGGGAGGAGACUUCGGCCAUGUCUUCAAGAUCGUUACUCGAACCUAAAGAACUUAAAAGCCGAAGUGGCUUCCUACGGAGGAAUAUUGAGGUCUUGGUCCUACAGAUGAACGGACGUUUCCGCCGUCACUUCUGGCUAUCCUACAGGUCGUUUGCCAUGGUCGGCCGUAGAGGGGCCGACUUGGACAGCCACCUCGGACACAGGAGGAGGCACCUGACAUUUAGUAUUUUCCUGGUUUAGAGUUCUAUGGCAGAGAAAUAACCAAGGAAAGGCGGUAGGGGGUACUUACAAAGGCCGAAGUGGCUUCCUACGGAGAAAUAUUGAGGCCCUGAUCCUGCGGAUGAACGGGCGUUUCCACCGCCUCUUCUAGCUCUCCAGCAGGUCAUUUGCCACGGUCGGCCGUAGCAGGGUUGACUUGGACAGCCGUCUCGGACAUAGAAAGAGGUUGACAGCGGGGUCGAAAGUGACUCGCCAGUGGAACCUCGUCGCUCCCGUCGCUCUCUUCCAGAACGAAGGCCGAGGGUUUUGGAUUUUCAGGAUAAGUUAUCUCAGUCACAGGGACUGCCUCUUCUGGGACGGGUGCAGCCUCGACCAGUGGAACAACAACUGGUUCACCGACUUUAGAAACAGGCCUUACUUGGACUGUUUCUUCGGUCGAAACUGAUCAUUUCUCAACUAAAGCUUGGGUGAUUGGGGGAGAAGGGGAAACACUGGGAGUUGUCACCCUUGUAGUUUGACUGGAGAUAACGUGAAUCACCCGUUCCCCUUUCUUCACCAGUUUUUUGACCCGUUUGGCGGGCCGAGGGGCUUCGAUGGCUGGCUCGACCUCUUAACGAGGCCGUUUGCUCAGCACAGCCUGCACAGCGAUCUUGGCCCUCUUGGAAACGACUGAUUUUUUCUCGACCGCGGCCGCGGCCGCAGCCGCAACGACCACUUCCACCUUUUUCAAUGGCCGACUACCUGGAAAAGUAAAAGCAAAUCAACAAAGCCGAUCAGUAGUUUAAAAUUGAAGAAAAAGGUAGAAAUAAACGGUUACCUUGGGGUUGGGGGGCAGGAGCCUUCUUAGGUCAAUCACCGAAGAUUUUGUUCAGAACGGUUUCGACCGAAACACCAAAAAACUAUUGGGUAUACUCUUCCCACCAAUCACCGAAGGUGUCAGUGUAAAGAGGCUCUAGAGUGACCGGUCGAAGAUGGAAUUUUUGGCACCGUUCCUGGAACUCUCUUUUGGCGUCGUUGCAUUCAUUCUCUGAAGAGCCAGGUUCGCGUCUGCGGCUUAGGACGGACCGUGAGGAGAGAAGGGGGACUGGGCAACCUUGAAGGUAGCCAAGCUAAUGAGCGAGGAAGUUGGGAUGAUACACUUCCCAACUCGCUUAGCGACCCUCAUAGCCGAGAGACAGGUCGCGGGCAAGCACGAAAGACCCCUAGGAUGGAUGAAGGUCGGCAUCUUCGUUCGUGUCCCACGCUGAUGUAGGGAGUCUGAUCGACGAAGGGUAUUCUCGAUGACGGUAGAUCAAGAACUCAUCAUCAGAAAGGUCGUCAAGAGUGAAAAAGUAUCUGAACACUUCUUCGACUUGGUGAGAGGGGAUUGGCCGAAAAGUCAGCUGAGGGCCGAGCGCUUCCUUAGGCGAGAAAUCGGCAAUCGUUGGCUAAAGAGGAGCAAAGUAAACCUACAGCCAGAGUUGGAAGACCCAGAGGGGACCAUUCUGCUGCGGAUUGACCUUAUCUAGGGUUGUUUCGGCCAAGCAGCGUAAGAGAUGGGCGAGAAUGGCCGGGCUGAGUGCUAGAGUGUGACCGCUUGCUAGGGCUUCGGCCACUGGCAUAUUCUCGACCAGACACUUAUUAGAUUUGGUACAACAGAUAAAUUUAUUGUACCAAUAAAAGAGGAAAGCCUCGUGUUCUCCUUCUCGCAGAGCUUCUUCUCCUCGGCCGGUAAAAUGGAAAUAGAGGGUGUUAUAGUUGAAGAAGUUCUUAUGAAGCUUGUAAACCUCUUCUUUCGAGGGUAUUUGGCCUUCACCGCUUAGCAUCUCAAGGGCCCGUUUGUCGAAGAGUGCCUUCAAGUUAAGGUUCGACGGGUACCCAGAGAGGGCAGCGUCAAUUGGGAUUCCAGUCGGGGAAGUCCCCAAGAUGUCAGUGAGAUCAAGGAUGGUGGGGCCAAUGGGGCCGAGAGGGAUGACCAUGGUGUUGGUGGCCGAACACUAGAAGCAUAAGGCCGCUAGGAGGAGCUCCUUGUCCAGGAUGACCUCCAUAGACGAGAGGUGAAUGGCAUCGUAAAUGCCGAGGAAUUUCCAUUGCUCGCCGAAGAGCUUCUCCAUUCAUACAACCCAGGCUGCCCAGGUUGUAGUGGUCGAAGGCCAAGAGCCUUGAGGCCUUGCCACAUCCCACUUCGGCCAUUCAAACCCUUGUAGCAAAGGCGACAGGCAAUGUUUCUAGAGAAGCCCAAUGAUGGUUGAUGGUACUGUCGCUUUAAAGAAAUGACCCAAGAUUUGAUGAGGGGUGCUCAUGUCACUUUCGAACCGUAUGGUUUUGAUCGAACUUCGAUCAAUAAUGUUCUGACAUUGGUCGCAUUCCUUGGAAAGCUUGGAGAUGAAGGAAGCCAUUGUAAGGGGAUUAAAAGAAUGCGAGACGAAAUGAGCUUUUCUGGGUUGGGAGAUUUGAAGACAAAGAUCUGGAAGGAAGGAGUGCACCAGAGAACGAUGGCAAGAAUUUCAGAAAAUUUGAAAGCGUAAAGUACAAAUGAGAGAAUUUCGGUAUUUAUAGAACGGUGGAAGGAAGGGCAAUCGUUCGAAAUUCAAAAUGAAGGGUAAAAUCGAUCGAGAAAUUCGCUAAUCAUUAUGAACAUUUAGAAAAUCCAGUUGAGAAGACCAAGGUUUCGUGUUUAGGGGGACGCACGAUUGCGUAUGGCGGUGAGAUUUAUGGUGAAAAAUGUUUUGGCGUCUGCACGAUGCUGAAUGGUUCGCAGAUCGAGGCAGCAUGGUUAUGUUCAGCAACGAGGUUAUGAUGAUAUGACGGUUCAGGGAGCCGCACGCUUUAAACGUCAUUAUUGGGGAUUAGCCGUAUAAAAGGAUGCCACAUGGUGUAUUGGUUAGCAAGAUCGAGAUCGUGCAAUCGUGCUCAAUAAAUGCGCCUCGAGAAUAAGAGUAUUUGGAUUUUGAGUUUUAAUUUCACUUCUUUAAGGCCGGAGCUCGACCAGAGGAUUCAGGCCUAGGACCUCAAAAGCGAGGGGGCAAUGUUUGGGCCCAAAAAUAUCAGUUUGGGCCGAGUAUAGAAUUAUUCUCGGCCCAGCGUUUAGUUCUGGACCGGUUAGGUCGUGGGCUUCCGAACCUGGGUCAGUUAAGCCAUGCUGCAAGACGAGUCGAAUCCUGGUGCAAUGAGGAGUCUCGGCAAGAUUAAUAACCCCGAAGUGAAUCCGGCUUAAUAAAGGACUAGGUUCACAAAUAUGGUGAAAAUAGGACUGGUCGAGUUGGUAUUUGAUCAGGAGAAGAAGUCAUAAUCCGGGUAGGGUUUUAACUCGACCUUGAAGGUAUCGGGUGCUAUAAAUAGAGGAGGUUGUACAUCAUUCAGGCCCCUUCAAUUCAACACACAACAACCCUGCGCAAACUUUCACAACAACUUUGAGAUUUUUAUUUUCUCUUUUCGUUGACACAUCUUCUGUUGGCAUCAACAGCACUGUGAAAGCAACCGGUGAUAUCUUAAGUCGGCAUAAAUAGCUCUAUCACCGUAGAAUCAGUCGGUCUCGCAGCAUCUUCUGUUGGCAUCAACAGCACUGCGGCGAUGACGGUUGGUUACCUAUCCAAGUCUCAGUCGAGAAGGAUUUCCAAAUCCUUAUUGAUUGAGGUCAUCUCAUUAGCCUUCUCGGCGAAGUGAGGUGUUACAGUUUACUGAACUCGGCGCAUUGCACGCCGAGUUAUUUUAUGAUUGGAUACUCUCAAGUGGGAUUUAGAGUUCAGCAUUCAGACGGCCGAACCACGUUCACUAUUAAGACUUAUAUUCACUUUGAGUAUUUGUGCCCUUACACUUUAGUGUCAAUUCGGCGUGAGUUUACUCUGACGAACAACAUCACUGUGACCGAAUCCGACGACGACGAUUCGUGAACUUCGUAAGAAUAGUAGCCUUGUCUUCAGGUUCGAGAACCCAAGAGGCCGAGAUGUGUUCCUUCCUCGGUCGCAAUCGCAAGACGCAGAAGUCAGCCACGCACCCAACGCAACAUCAAUAAAUUUACUUCUCGGUCGAGCUCGACCGACGAGUUGGCACGCUCUGCAUUCACCGAAGGACGUAGUUAGCUUAUAGAUUACUCGGCCUGUGCGCUACGUAGGCUUGGUAGUUUUUAGGGUCAACAAUAACAUACAAAAACAUCAUAAUUUUUGCUUUAGCAAUUUAGUGAAUUAGAUGGUAUGAGAUGAAAGUUUAAGUGUGUCACAUCCCAGUCCGGCUCCGCCGUAGCACGAUAUUGUCCGUUUUGGGCUUACCAUUCUCUCACGGUUUUGUUUCUGGGAACUCACACAAGAACUUCCCAGUGGAUCACCCAUCCUAGGAAUGCUCUCGCCCGAACUCGCUUAACUUUGGAGUUCUGAUGGACUCCAAAGCCAGUGAGCUCCCAAAAGGUCUCGUGCUAUAGGGAGGGGAGCAUGUACAUAUAAGACACAUCACCCCCUCUCUGUUGGUCAAUGUGGGAUAUUACAAAGUGAUUACAAGACGCAAUGUUUUACGAAAUAUUUUUCAAAUGUCAUAUGUAUAGUGAAUUUUAAAAGAAAUAAUGGUGUCAAACAUGUGUCAUAAAAAAUAUUGAUUUAGUAAUCCACCAUCCCUUUAUUUAUUAAAAUGAUAGGUGACACAACCUGAUUAGAGAACAAUUAAAAAAAAUAUAAAAGAAAAAAUUGGGAAGUUGGACACGUGGGAAAUGGAAAAAGAACUUUUUCUUCAAAAUGGGGAGUUCGUCACGUGGGAAGUGUAGAGAGAAUGUUUUUCUUCUUCGUUGGAACUAGGUCCAAGAACAGGAGAAUCAUGGCGGUAUUCUCUGCGUUCCUCUUCGUCUAAGAUUAGACUUCUUCUCAACCCUGAAACUGGAUUGUCGAAGUAAGCUCGGAACUCUUUUGUUUCACAACACCCUAUUCCUUCUUAGGCCUAUUCAAAUGGCUGUAUGGAUAAUGCUUUUAGGCUGAACCGAAGAAUUGGCUUGAAAUGAUUAUCCGAGUUGCUCGCAGUUUGACAGUUUCUGUUGCUUGUUUCAUGCAUUUGUAACUUAUUUUUUGCCCUUUAUUCCAAUUAUGGUCUUUCUACUCAUUGUCUUUGACACAAUAAUGAAUAAAUUUUCUAUUGUUCAUUCGAAAGUACGGCAUUGCAUCUUUCACUUCUAGCAGGAAUUAGAAAUGGAAGAUUGAUAGCGUUCACUAAAAAUGAUAGCUAGCAGUUAGUAUAGGCUGGAAAAGGGUGAUAAGUAGAAGAACUAACAGAGUGGUGCUGGCAUGUACAAAGUUUGAUUUUGGUCUCUGUGGUUUAUUUUUUAAAUUAUUAUUAACAGGAGGGGGGAGGUUCAAAACUAUUACAAUAAUUUGAGGGAGGGGGAGUUUCGAGCCUUUGAUGCAUAGGUGGAAAUCCAACACCCUAUUACUAGGAUAUAUUGGACCACAUGCAGGUAUUACAUGGGUGGAAAUCCAACACCUUGUUCCUGUAGUUUCAAUUAUCGCGUUUCUAAAGAGAUGCUUUACCUUUUGGGUGUUACAUUUGCACGAAUCGCAUUGCAUCCGUCAUUUGUGUAGUUCCAACUUUGCUGUUCGUACACCUUCCAGGUACUAAUUCGCUGGAUGUAGCCAUAAAAAUGGGCUUAGAUAUGGAACAUCAUACAACUAAUUUCAAAUCGACUCUCAUUAUUUCCUCUAUUUGAAUUGUAACAUUACAAAGAUUUAGAUUUGUCUUGGAACAUAAUUUGUAUAAAAUGUAGCAUCUCUGAGAGAACUGCCCUGUAUCGACGACGUCAAUGGUCUACUCUUUAAUUAGAAGUGCCCUUAAGAUGACUUCACUCAUACCAUCUGGAGCUGGCAACAAAUGUCCACCACCUGGUACCUCAUGGUAGUGAAUCCAUGGAAGCUUUUCGGCAAUAUAGCGUUGCAGCUCAACUGGGACAAGCUUAUCUUCGUCACCCUGCCAUAGAUGGACCGAGCCUUCGUCGCUGGCAAAGGGGUUCUGCAGAUCCAUAGGAUCAAAUUCCCAGCUCCCAAAUCCAACUACCAUGUCGCGAAAGAUGGACUCAGCUUCUCCUUGCUGUGUGGCAUGUUCCUGCCCAAACAAAUAACAAAACAAACAAAAAUCAUCAACUCUGCCGAGUUUCUAUAAAAUCGUAAACAAUUAGCGAUCGAAUAAGGAAAGUACCUUGUGCUUUUCUCUUCCAAAAACCUUUGCAUUCUUAAUGGCUUCCCAAUCUUGGCGGGACAACAUAACCCUGUGUUUAGGAAAGAAUUUCUGAGUGUUCCACCAGUAGGUUAACCAAGGUAUAUAGUGGGCAGCUCGAAGCGCCCAUUGAUCCUGUGGAGCUUGCUUCUUAUAGGCAUAAGACGACAGGUUGGCAGGAAGUCCUGGCCACCAGUAGUUGAUCACCGGAGCGAUCAGUGCUGCUCCAGCUAGCCUGUCGUAACAGGCAUCCCAAACUCAUCGAACUUUAGAGAAAAUUUUCAGUACCGAACGAUGCAUCAUCAGGUAACGAGGCUGCUUGCAAAAUCCUACCUAUGAGGGAUGUACUGAAGACACUUCCAGAUGACCUGUCCUCCCAUUGAGUAUCCAAUCAUAUAAAAUUUGGAUCCGAGUUCCAGCUGAUCACCAAGCUCCUCUAUAUCUAACGCUAAGCUCUUCGUUGUUCGCUUAGGAUCCGGAUCACUUUCACCGUACCCUGGUCUGUCGAAAGACACAAUGUACACACCUAAAUCUUCAAUAACUUCCUGAGGAAAGGAAAAAAAAACACGCACCACGAAAUCAACCAAUAAAGAGUUGAACUGAAAAAUGACAAAGAAUCAAGCAAGGCAGUACCGGAGAGACGGCUGUUGCAAUGAUUGGAUCAUGUCGGGAACUAAAGAAGGGAUGAACAAAGAUAAUCUUGUACUUGGCCAAUUGUUUUGGAACACCAUGUUCCUUGUAGGCCAAAAAUCUUCCAUCCCUUAGCCUUAUUCUAGGCGCUGUGACGGGUGGACCGCCAGGCGAACCACAGAUGUUCGGAGGUGGUGGUCGGGUGGCCUGAUAUGCCCACGCCAGCAAUCCAACCAACAAGAUGAAUGUGAUCCUCUUAAACAUGUUUGAGAAGAUGGAAAGUAAGAAACUUUACUCACCUGCAGUAAAAAGAAGCAAAUAGAAAAAUAACAUUACACUAGAGGACAUCAUUGUAUAAUAAGUUUAAAGUGCUUUUAGAUUUAGGUCCAAAAAUAAGUUGUUUCGGGAGUGAGUUCAGUAAUCUAAUUACAUGUUUUGAUACUAAUUUUACCCUUUUAGAUAAGAAUAUUUAAAUUCUUUAAUUAAAGAAUACAAUUCUUAAAUAUUAAAUAGAAAAUCGAUUUAUGUGGCAGGUAAUCAAAAUGAUCAUAUAUUUGAAUCUAAAUAUACACUUUUUUUCGUAGCCAUAAAAACAUUAUAAUGCAUUUUGAGAAAGGAGAUGAUGAUAUGUGAGAGAAAAGAAAGAUCGAAGAUGUUGGAAGUUUGAAACGUGAGAAACAAAAACACAAAGAUACAAUAAAAUGAGUUAGUUGAUUAAAAAGAAAACAAGAAAUAAAAGAGGAGAAUGCUUCCAUGGUGCUUUGGUGCCACCUGUCUCAUAUUUAUUGGGUUGGUUGGAGUGCUUUAAUCAGACUUGACCAAACGAGAUUCAACACUAGGGGAUUUCAUUUCUACAUUUAAGAACAAAGCAGUAGCAGAUGCCAUACAAAAAUGAGAAAGAAGAACGAAAAAAAGACAAAAAAAGAAAAGGAAUAUUUUUGUUUGCUAUUCUUAAGUGAUGGUGAUUCUUAUUACUCUAUUUAUCAUCGUAAAAUGAGUUUAAAUUUCAAAUAUGUAUAGUGAAUAUAUAUAGACCUCAAAAUUUAAACCCAUUAAAUAAUGGUAAAUAGACUUGUGAGUAUUAUCAUCACUUGAUAAUGAUGAUUCGUGAGCAAAAAUGCACCUGGAAAAAAAUUAUGAAGAUAAAACGAGCCGUGAGAAGUAGGUCAGUAAGAGAUUUAAUUCCUAAUCACUGAAUUCAUUUCAACGAGUAAACUAUUCUUAAUAAUAGUUUGAAAAAUUAGACUUAUAGUAAAUUUUCUCGAGUUUUUUAAUUUGCUACUUCCCCUCAAUUGAUGAAAGGUUAUUUAAAUCAAACAACAACCAGAAAAAUGGACAAUCAAGUAUAAAGAAAACAAAUACACACACGCUUUACUUUUAUCCAAAACAAUAUUACAAUAUCAAAACUAUAAGAUGCGGAUUUUAAUAUAUAAGAGAGAAACAGUGUUCUAGCUAAUUUGAUUAUACUAAUUGUUCCUGUAAACGCACACAAUCAAUAAAUAAGUUGCAAAUUAAAAGAUGCACUCCUUUGUUUAACCAAAACCACAAGAAAAUAAAUCAUAAAAAAUCAUACUUGCUAAUGUGGUUUUUUGGUAAAAACUUACCACCAACACUCCUCCCUCUGUGAUAAUAAUAAGUUUAUGCAGAAGAAAAUGGCAGAAACCAGGCUGAGUGAGCAGCUGCUUUUAGCUUUUGUGUGGUUGUUAAAUUACGUGGAGGAACCCACCUUCACCUAUUUCAAGGCUCGUUUCUUGUCUAGGACUGGCUUGACUUAGACAAUCUGCCGGAUUUUAAAGAAAAAAAAAAUAGAAAUAUGAAUGUCAGAUUGCAUGUUUUGUCAAAGUGACGAACGUAGAUGGAGACGCGAAGAAAAAUUGUCCAUCUUAAUCUUAGACUUUUUGUAAAGAUUAGGAGAAAUAAGUUUUGUUGGUAAUUUUAAUGACAUAUUUGUCAAUCUCCUUCCCUCUGAACUUGGAAAAAGUUGCUAAAUUUCUGUAUAAAUUUUAAUUUUAAUCGAUUACUCGCCUGAGUUGUUAUAAUUAACCAAAUUUUCCCUUAAUGUUAGAUUUUAGAAUUUUUGUUCUAUUUUGGUCACAACAAAUGUUUGAGGACAAUAAAGUAAUUUUAUUCUUAAUGUGGACAUCAAAUUGCUUUUUGUUUUUUCCUUCUCCACCUCCUCGACACCGUUCACUCAAAUUGCUUUUUGUUUUUUUUUUUCUCCACUUCCUCGAUGUCGUUCACUCUCUGUUCGAAUUAGUAGCUGCAAUGUAUUAGCUUUGCACCCAAUUUACCAAAACAAAAUUAUCUUUUUGCCUUCAUACAAUUGUCAUGUGUUGCUUGCAUGACCAAAAUAGAAGAAAAAAUUUAAAAUCUAACAGGAAAAAAAUGGCUAUUUAUAACAGUUUAAAAUAAUAAUCGACUAAAAUUAAAUUUCAAAAGAAAAAUUAACAGUUGCAUAAAUGUUCGGAAGCAAAUCAAGAAAUAGGUCAAUUUUAAUUAAUGGCAUAUUAUUUUAUUUUUAUUUUUUUGAAGAGAAUUAAUGGCAUAUUACAAGGAAUAAAUCCUUGUGGUAUUUGAUAGUUGGUGGCCAUGGAGAAAUUUUUAGUUAUAACCGAAAUACGGAUGAUAUAUCACGUGUUUCUACGUAAGUGGUGAAAAAUUUUAAUUUUUAAAUUAUUAACAUUUUAACACACAUAAUACAUCAUUUAUAUAAAGAUACGUAGUGUAUCAUUUAAUGUAACGGUCACAUUAAAAAAUCUAUUGUGGCCAUGGUUGGCAGCCUUCCUCUUCGCUUUUAUUCUUUUUCUCUAUUGGGUUGGGAAUUUUUUUUUUUUUUUUUGAAGAAUUGGUUUGGGAUUUUUAUGAGUCGGCACUGAACAGGAAGGCAGGGGUGGUUGUUGGUUUGUCCAAUCCAAAAGUUGGAGGCUGCUCAACUACACGACAUAAUAAACGACAAAAUAGACAAGUCUAUAUGUGGGCGUUGUUAGUUGUCCUAAUAAGAGUAGACAAAUGCUAGCAGAAUUCUUUUUAAAAUGAGACUUUUUAUUGAUUUUUUAUCAUUCCACAGUUUAACGUUAAUUAUCGUGCGAAUGUUAUAAAAUAUUAUAUAAAAAAUAUAAGGUAUAGAGAGUCAAUUGAAAGUCUCACCAUUAAGAGAGUUCCUUUAUUAUUUCUAUAAAAUUUUGGUUACAACUUACAACCAUACCAUUAGAGCAUCUCCAAAAAAAAAAAAAAAAGAUAAUGUAGCAUCUCUAAGAGAGCUGCCCUGUAUCAACGACGUCAAUGGUCUACUUCUCUCUAAUUAGAAGUGCAUUUAAGAUGACUUCGCUCAUACCAUCUGCAGCUGGAAACAAAUGUCCACCACCUGGUACCUCAUGGUAGUGAAUCCAUGGAAGCUUUUCGGCAAUAUAGCGUUGCAGCUCAACUGGCACAAGCUUAUCUUCGUCACCCUGCCAUAGAUGGACCGAGCCUUCGUUGCUGGCAAAGGGGUUCUGCAGAUCCAUUAGAUCAAAUUCCCAGCUCCCAAAUCCAACUACCAUGUCGCGAAAGAUGGACUCAGCUUCUCCUUGCUGCGUGACAUGUGCCUGCCCAAACAAAUAACAAAAGAAAACAAAAGAAAAAUCAUCAACGCUGCCGAGUUCUGUAAAAUCCUAAACAAUCAGCGAUCUAACAAGGAAAGUACCUUGUGCUUUUCUCUUCCAGAAACCUUUGCAUUCCUAAUGAUUUCCCAAUCUUGGCGGGAAAACAUAUUCUCUGGUUUCCCGGAUACAACGCUGGAUUUAGGAAAGAAUUUCUGAGUGUUCCACCAGUAGGUUAACCAAGGUAUAUAGUGAGCAGCUCGAAGCGCCCAUUGAUCCUGCGGAGGUUGCUUCUUAUAGGCAUAAGAUGACAAGUUGGCAGGAAGUCCUGGCCACCAGUAGUUGAUCACCGGAGCGAUCAGUGCUGCUCCUGCUAGCCUGUUGUAAUAGGCAUCCCAAACACAUCAAACUUUAGAAAAAAAAAAUUCAGUACCGAACGAUGCAUCAUCUGGUACCGAAGGAGGCUUCUUGUAAAAUCUUACCUAUGAGGGAUGUACUGAAGACACUUCCAGAUGCACUGUCCUCCCAUUGAGUAUCCAAUUACAUAAAAAUUGGAUCCGAGUUCCAGCUGAUCACCAAGCUCCUCUAUAUCUAACGCCAAGCUCUUUGCUGUUCUCUUAAGAUCCGGAUCACUUUCCCCGUACCCUGGUCUGUCGAAUGACACAAUGUACACACCUAAAUCUUCAAUGACUUCCUGAGAAAACAAAAAAAAAUAAAAAUCCACCACGAAAUCAUCCAACAUAGAAAUUAACUGAAAAGUGACAGAGAAUCAAGCAAGGCAGUACCGGAGAGACGGAUAUUGUAAUGAUUAGAUCGUGUCGGGAACUACUGAAGGGAUGAACAAAGAUAAUCUUGUACUUUGCGAUUGGUUUUGGAACACCAUGUUCCUUGUAGGCCAAAAAUCUUCCAUCCCUUAGCCUUAUUCUAGGCGCUGUUAUGGGUGGACCGCCAGGCGAACCACAGAUGGUCGGAGGUGGGGGUCGGGCGGCCUGAUAUGCCCACGCCAGCAAUCCAACCAACAAGAUGAAUGUGAUCCUCUUAAACAUGUUUGAGAAGAUGAAGUAUGAAACUUUGCCCAACUGCAGUAAAGAAGCAAAUACAAAAGUAAAUUACACUUGAG